This 66923-nucleotide long non-coding RNA is filed under the name Panicum hallii. RNAcentral describes it as "long non-coding RNA (PHAL_LNC000323)". Lineage: Eukaryota; Viridiplantae; Streptophyta; Magnoliopsida; Poales; Poaceae. The record is from RNAcentral.
UCAGGGCAAACCUUAGGGUAGCUUUGGUUGUGGAGGAGAACGGUUGGAAAGUGAAUUCUCGUGACGAACAAGAUCAGCGAUGAGAAGUGCUCGAUAAUGAUGAGGUUCCGGUACGGGAAAGAUGAAGAAGCUUGCCUGGGGAUUGUAGUGGGUGGAAGAUGGCCGGAGAGAUGUUUCUCACGGUGACCCGUGGUGACGGUGGUCGGUUGAGCGAUCAACGAGGGGUAGGAACUGUUGGACGUCGUGGACCCCUGGGACGAGACGAUAGAGCCGGAUUGGUUCGCUAUGCCAACUUCUCCGCGAACCUCAGGGUUCUCCUGCUCACAGGCUAAGCCUCCACAGCUCACGCGCGUGUGCCGCUGAGACACGGCCGGCACACUCGCGUAGCUUCCUGUAGGACCGCCGCACCUGAUCACAUCUCCAGUGCACCGCUUCUGCUCUGCUCCCACACCAACGGCCCCCAUCCUGCAUGCGCGUGGUCGGUUGUCUUGCAUACGCACGCGUCUGCGGAAACGAAUCGGGCCGGCCGUCAGUCCUGCGUCGCGCGUUGGACCCGCGUCACGCUGCUCUUGCCUCGACCUCCGCAUGAGUGGAGGGAGCUCGUCGUGCCUGGCUGCACCGUGGCACUCAACCAUCUCCUACACCACGUUCUGCGCAUCCAACCGCCUCGCCGCUGCGCAGCUGCUCCUUCCGAGUUCGCCGCGCUAUAAUCGCCGCCUUCGCUUCGCCACUUCUCCUUCCAGCUCGCCGCCUCUCGUGCAUCUCACGAGCGAGUGAGCUCACGUCCUUGAUACGGCCACUCUUGCACCACCAGAGAUCUCCGUGGCGUAGUCAGGGUCGAUGCCACCGCGUUCCCGCAUCUUGCGCAAAAGCUUUCCACCACAACUCCUCCUGCGCGUGCCAUCGCUCUGCACGUCGUUGCCCUGCACAGUUACUCCUCUUCUCCUGUUGCCGGACCCGCGCUUGCUCCGGCCUUGCUGUGUCAUUCCCGCGCAUGCCCGAACCGCGUGCAUUCUCGACCCGCGUCAUGUCUUGUUUACACCGCCCGUGUUCUGCUCGCACGCUGCCACGCCACGGCCGCAGCUCCACUUGCGCCUGCGCCGCGUGCCUGCACUGUUAGCUGUUUGCGCGUCCACGCUCCUACGCCGCCACCAUCCGCGCCUGCCCGCGUUGCUGCUCAACCCGCGCGCCUGCGCCGCGCCUGUUCCAGCCCAGUGCCUGCUGCACCAUCCGCACCGCGUUCCUGCGCUGCUUGCCCGCGCUAGCGCCCGCGAGCCACAGCCCCGCGCCACCCGAACCGCCCUGCGCCGGCUCGCCCCCGCGCACCUCCAUGCCUCCCGCGCGCGCUCCGCACCUGCUGCCACGCACGCCGAGCCGCCCCGCUCCAGCCGUCGCCUGCGCCAGCGCGCUGCGCGCCGCCAGCCCGCACUCGCCCGGCGUCGGCUCCGCGCCGCCUGCCGCCGCGCCGAGCCGCCGUAGCCGAGCGCGCUCCCAUGCGCCCAAGCCGCGUUAGCCUCAGGCUCGCCCGCGCCGCCCGGCCCUCGCGCACCUGUGCGCCUGCUGCGCGUCCGCUGCUUGCUCGGCCGGUAGUGGUGAGAGAGAAGGGGGGCCAAAAGAGAUAAGGAUGGAGGCCAAGAGAAAAACGCCAACGGUGGAAACAAAAGGAGGCGCCAGGAUAAGGAAGAACAGAGAAGAAGGACAGAUGGAAUUUCCCAAGGACUUAUGCGCAAUUUCAGAAAAUUGCAGGGACCUUUCUGUAAAGUAUAAAUUUCACAUUAAUCUAAAGCCCUAAUGAAGAAAUGCCCAAAAUGAAAGUGGAGAGUUUUUCAAACUCUACAACAUUGCUUUAGAGCUCAAGUUCAAAAACUCAAAACUUAUAUCUUUACACGUGAACUUUUGAACAAAAGUUGGAUUUGAAUUACUUUUGUCCUAAAGAGUGUAACUUUAUAAAAUUUAGGACCUAAAUGCAAGAAUUUAUGACACGUCAUGAUGACGGGAUAGACAUGUCAUAAUGAUUGGAUAGACAUGUCAUAAUGACUUGCACCUUUUACACUUUAGUCCUAAGUAACUUUGAGAAUUACUUUUGUAAAUCAUCUACUUGCACAAAAGGACUUGUACUUUUAUAAAAUUACAUAAACACCCUUAUUUUUACCAUUUUACCCAAACUUUUACACAAUUCAACACUUGCAUUUCUAAUGCAACUUUUGGAUAAAUAUAUAUUUUUUUACAGGGAAUAAAGUAAGAAUAACAUGUUUACAAAACCACCUUUCACUUAUUUUGAAAUUACCCUUAUCCAAAUACACUUUGCAAAAAUAACCCUAGGUUUUUCUGUAAUUAUAAAAAUACCCUUUUUACUUGCACUUUAAAUUUUCAAAAGCUUCACAUAAACACACACAAGCUUUACACUAACAAGCACAUACUUCACACUAACAAAUAAUGUGCCUAGUUUACAAGUACAUGAACUGUCACAAGCAUAUCACCCGAACCACAUCACCCCGGCGCAGCUGCUAGACCACACCCCUACCCAUCUCCAAGCUCUAGUACGCCGAAACACCACCGCCAUCGUCAAGCUCCACCGCCGCCGUCUUGGGUCACCGCCGUUUUACCUAUUCUGGCCAACACCAACCGUCACAUCACCCUCAGCAAGGUUUCCCCUAGUCCCCUGAUCCUUCCCAGCCAGCUUCCCCUCGCCGCCGGCGACCACCACCAUCGGAAUUUAGCCGGCGCAUCUCAGCUUCUCUUCCCCGACGAGCAAGGACCCAAUUGCUUUGAUUCAAUUCUUUCUGAGGGCCUGGCUGCAAGAUUCCAGUCCCUCCCCUCAUUUCAAAAUCAGUAAUCUUUAGAAAUUGGUAGAAAUUUAUAGAAAAUUCAGAAAAAUGUCAAACUUGUUUUGCUGAAAUCCUCAAACAAAAUCUUACAACUUUUUUUACUAGAGUUCGGGUUGAAACCAAAUACUUUUUGGGUUAUUCUAAUGAUUAGCAAAAGGGGUACCUUGUGUGUAACUUGUGCAUUUUAGCUUACUUUUACGUGAUUUUUGGUAUGCAGCAUGUUUAAGGUAUAUGUAAGAUUGUGUAAAAAGUUCACCAUAAUUUAUGCACUCUAGCUUGAACUAAUUUGAAUUUAUACAAAUCAAGCUUGAAUUGGUUAAAGUUCAUUUAAACAUGAUACUAAGGUUUUCAUGCCUAGAUUUUUUUUAUCAUGUAGUGUUCUGUAUUUAAGUAGUUCAUAAUAAAUAUUUUAAGAAUUUAUGGCACUGUUUUACCUAAGGUUUGAAUUUAAACUUAACAUUUGAACUAAAUUCAAAUGCUUUAGUGUUUGUUUUAGAAAAUUAUGAAAAAUUCAUAGUAAACCCCUCUGCUAGAAACAAGUUUACCCACAAAAAUUCAAGAUCAUAACUUUUAUAAAUUUUAGAAUAAAAAUCCAUCUUGUUAAUCUCAUUCAAUUAAUCCCAUGGGUUAAGAUAAUUGAAUUGAGAUGCAAAUAAUAGGUUUGAAUGCAAAUUUCUUAUUUUGUGACAUUGUGUUCAUCAAAUUGUUGGAUUGCAACUUUAUCGUGAAGUAAAACUCUUAACUCAAGAACCAUCUAAAUCAAAUCAUUGCAUAUCAUGUAGAUUCGACUACACUCGCUGACGGAGACUACCAGUUGAUCCCGGAAUCAGAAGGAGAUAAUCCUGAAGACCCCGGGAACAUUAUCAGAGAUAUAACUGAAGCCUCGAACCAAAGUUCGGGAGAUAUUAACAUCUCUAACCCCAGCCCCACCAACGAAGGCAAGCCCCGGACAUAAACUCGCUACUUUAUUUACACUGCAAUCUACAUUUAUAUAUAUACUUGUGCAUUAAGUUCUUAGGAGUUGUCUAGAAACCCUAGUUGCAUAUUCCUAGGAACCAAUGUACUGAAUACUAGAACUUGAGUUCAAAUAGCUGCUAUACUAAUAGGACCAGUAGAAGUCGAGUGAUUGUCUGUCACUCGCGAGCUUUAUAGGAAUUGUAGUGCUUACAUUCCUGUAAUCACUAUAAGGAUGACGGAUGGGAUUUAUGUGAAGUAUCAUGGUUGAGAUGAUACCCCAUCUGUGCUGAUGAAUUUGGCUAAGGUCGCAGUAUGUGGUAGCGGUGGUUAAGCAUUUGAAAGUACUAGCCACAUGCCGUGAAAUAUGGUAAGCGGUAAGCCUAGUAACCAAUCGGCCCGGCAAGUGGACAUACCUCCCACCACUCGUAUUUGGUUUUUCCGGUUACUCACUUCGAUGUGUGGGAAUACGUGUUGCAGGGCAACCAGGAGUACGGUCAUAUAGUCGCGCUACAGACGUACGUCCUGCACAUUGGAUGUGCGUAUGGUCCUGCAGUCACUUGUGGUGGAUCUGAUCCACGAGUCGGAAUGAAAGGCAAACGGUUGCUUCAGAACAAUCGUUGGAUGCUCCAAGCGUGUGAGUUAGGUUUGCCCUUGCAAGGUUAUGAAAUUCGAUUCAGAAUCGUCCGUUUCUCGCGGAGAUUGAGACUGCUUGAUCUCUUUGCCACAUAGUGUAACAAGAGCAACCUUAUGGUUAUCAAAGAUGAUGUUUGUUUAAAAGAUUCUACCAUGCUUGAAUAGUUAUAGUUGCUUACCUAGAAUGGAUAAUUAACUAGAAUCUGAAAGCUAAAAUUUGAAAGUAAGGAUCUACUCUUUGUUGCUUUUCAGCUGAAAACUAAACCCAGAACCAUUUAAAGCCUUCAUAGUCUAGUUACAUGGCUAAGUAUACCAUGAAACGGGUAAGCCUUGCUGAGUAUUAGGAUACUCAGCCUUGCAUUGUGACUUUUGUUCAGGUAAUCCCCCUAAGGACUCUGCUCUACCUGUACCCUGGCCUUAUGCUCUUCCCGAUGGUUGGUCCGUGGAGUGGGAUCCGUCCCCGGCAAACACAGGUCCAUCCGAGUGAUGUUGAGCUUGGGCUUAGUUCAAUAUCUGUUCAGCGAUGUCUGGAAGUGUCGUGUCUUGUCUUUCCGCUGCAGAUACUCUAACUUUAUACAAUUUGUAUAAAUUCGUACUAGCUAGGUUUUUAUACUUUGGAUGUAUACCAUGUAAUAUUAUAUCGGUGAUGUAAAAAUGGUUGGCAUUUGUAUCUCUGGACUCGCCUUCGUGCGAGGUACCUUGUUUUGAUCCUGAGUUAGGUGGUUUUAUCGGGACUUUACCUGACAGGCCAAGGGGUUACACCAUUUGAAGUACAUUGGAGCCCUUGAGAGAGGACUUGCGUACUUGAGCCGGUAUAAUUCAGGUUGGUUCUGCCACAAUUGCCCCCUGAAAGUUGUCGUUGAAGACCUUCUUGAGCCGCUCCCAGGAGUCGAUCGAUUUGUUGCUGAGGCUCUCCAACCACGUGAGUGGCGCAGGGUCCAAAACCAUCGGGAAAUAGACGACCUUGGUAAUGUUGGAGCCCCCCACGACUUCAAUGGCGGUGGAGUAGCAACGCAGCCAUUGUUGAGGAGCUUGCUUGCCAUCAUACUUGGUGAUGCCGAUCGGCUUGAAGCCCUCAUGGUACUUGUAACUGCUAAACCAUGUGGAGAAAGCUGGAAAAUGGUCGCUGCAGUCGGUACCCUCUGUCUUGGCUAUUUCGCGCUCUUUGCGCCUGAAAUUGAUCACGGACCGCGCAUCGCGUCCUUCAUUGAUUCGUUGGUGCAGGUCUUAUAGAGGAGGCCGAUGAUUGGCCUAUCGCGGGUUACCCCCUGGAGGUGGCUGCUGCCUCCCGCCAGGGGCCUGACUCCCACGAGCGUUAUCAUUGUUGCUGCGCUGAGGUCGGGGACAGCCGCCUGCCGUUCGACUGUGAGCCUGGCUUCGGUUUUUGCCCAUGCGCUACUACUUGAGGGUAGACAUCGGGUUUUGUUGAUCAAGCUGAAUCCAAGCCCUCUGUGCGUAAUGAAGUGCUUGACGCACGUUUUGAUCGUUACUACGCUCGAGUAUAGCUGUUACCCUGGUGAUGUUGGCCACCGGAGUCCUGAAACCCCGCUCGCUGACGGUAGCAAAUUCGGCGUCAAGCUCACGAUGCAUAGAUCGCAUGUGCUCAUUGACCCUCCUUUGGCGGGCUGCGCGAGCUCUGUUCCGGGUCCUCCGUGCCUCACGAUCGGCGUCGUUUUGAUCACGGGCGUUGGCUGUGGCCUCAUCUUCAGAUACCGCAUCAAAGUCGACAACGGGCAAGUCACCAUCAUCCUCGCCUUCUUCCGCCAUCAGCACCAGGCGUGAGAUGAGCUCAUCGAAGCUCGCAUUGACUAGCUCAGUCGACUCCUCUGCCACGGUGGCUAAUGGCCUGCCUUCCUGAAAAGGCACGGGCUCGAGGUGUGCCACAAGUCGGUCCUCGGCCUCGAGUAGAUCAGAAAGUUUCAUGCCCUUCCAAUACACGAAACGCCCCUCCGGAGUGGAGGUGAUUAUCAGACUGUUGGCACCAAAACAACCCGAAGCCUCCCGACGCACGGUGGCUUCGGGCUUUCUGAGUUGGAGUAGAGAGUCCAAGUCCUUCUCCAAUGUGGAGAGGGACUCGGAGACGUCGGCCUCCUGAAGAUCAGUGGCCAAAUUGCGUAGACCGAGUCGUGAUCGGCUAUGUGAGUCCUCAGAUUGGAACGGGUCCAACCCGAGCAAGGUUGUUGCAGCGCUGGAUGGAGUCGCACCGAAAGCAGACUCCUCCUCAGUUCUCGUAGCGGAUCCAUGGAUUGACAAGUCAUCAAGAUUAUCAACGAACUUGUCGAGGUCAAUAUGAAAACCUGCCGCGGGAGUUUUCGGCUUCAUGUCGACGAGAAAUCACCGAAAACUGCCUGUACCACCUGCGAUGCAGACCCACGAGCCAAAAACAAACAUCAUACCCUGAGAAGGUACUAACCUGGUGAACUGGAAAGAUGCCAUCGAGUUCACCGGUGGAUCUUCGAUGCGCUCCCCUACCUGGCGCGCUAGCUGUCGGUGUUUUACCGGCUGCCCACUGAGGGGUAUACCCAAGGUGGUAAGUUUAGGUGAGGAACACAAGAUUUAGAUAGGUUUGGGCCGUGAGGUGCGUAAUACCCUACGUCCUGUAUGGUGGAUUGUAUUGCCUUGGGUGUAGAAUGUUGUCUUUUGAGGGGGUCCCUGCCCCCCUUACAUAUCCGGGAGGAUAGGGUUACAUGAAUCCUAACCCAUUACUAGCCAAGGAAUCGUACCCGAGUAUAACUCGAGUAGUUUCCUUCCAUACUGACUAGCUUUAUCUCCUUCUCACACGAGUAGAGAACAACAUAAAUAAGAGAUAAGAUAGGCUUUAUCUCCUAAUCCUAUUUAAACUACGUUAUGUACAUAGUCCCAUAGCCCCGGGUCUGACACUUCAUCCUCCUUCUGCGCACGCGCAGCCCAGAACGCCGCGCCGGCGAUCUCACUCUCCGCUGCCGUUCUAAUUCUAGUCGAACUGAAGUUCCACCCUUUCUCCUCCUUCGCCAAGAGCACCAUCAGCACUACAUCUCCACACCGAAGCUCCCUGACCAAUUUCCUUCGCCUUCCUGCACUCCAAUCGCCGGACCACCAUCGCCGCCCUCGAAACCUCGCCGCGCCGGCUCUGUUUCUAGUUGAACCGCCGCCUCCAAGCUUCGCUUCUAUGAUUUCAACCACCCCCAAGUCCGCUGUGAGUUCCUGAACCUUUUUCCCCACCUUCCCCUCGCCGCUGGUAAGCCUCCUCGCCGAAUUUUGAUCGCCGCCGCUCGACUUUUUCUGUUCAAGUCGAUUAGGGACCCAAAUGCAAGUCUCUAUUUCUUUCUAAGGUUUUUUCUAUAAAAUAGCAUGAAUCAAUCAGUUACAUGCCUAUCAGCUACACAUCCAUCGGCCACACGCCCAUCAACUACACGUUGAUCGGCUACACCUCUAUCGGCUACUUUUAGUGAAGAAAAAUCACACCCGAUGCGCGCACAAAUUGUUAUCUAGGUUAACACCUUAAGCAAGUAUCGGCUAGACAAGCCGAUGCACACCCCAAUCAGCUAGAUAAGCUAUCUGAAAAACAUGCUGUGAAGUAGAUCCGAUCAGCUUUGUAGUAACCGUCACCCAAUAGCCGUUUUGAAUAAAGUUUGUACACCAGAAACUCUACUUAAGUUUAUUUCCUCCAAAUAUUUUUGUUGUUUGUACAAAUUAGUUAAGUCUUGAAGUGAUGUAUUGAAUGUUCUUGUUGGAUUGCAACUUUAUCGUGAAAAUAAAAUAGUAAAAUAAUAACCAUUUGCUUCAAAUAAUUGCAUAUCAUGUAGAUUUGAUGACACUCGCCGAUGGUACCUACGAGCUAAUCCCAGAACUCGACGAGGGUAUUUCUGAAGCUCAAGUGAACAUCGCCGAAGAUCUUUCCGAAGCCCCAAACCAAGGUUCAGAAAAUAUUGACAUCACUAACCCCAGCCUCACCAGUGAAGUAAACCCUCAGUGCAUAACCCAGUAUUUUAAAUUAUGCACUUAUAUCGUUAUAUAUCUAUCUUGUGCAUUAAGUGCUAGGAGUUGUUAUGAAACCCUAGUUGCAUGAAACCUAGGAACCUAUGUAAUUUUUCCAAGUCCUUAUCGAGUAGAUGCUCUGCUAAUAGGAUUGGCAGAAGUCGAGUGAUUUCCUGUCACUCACGAGAUAUAGGAGUUGAUUGUUUACUAUUUUGCAAUCACUAUAAGGAUCACGGACAAGGUCAUGUGCAGUAUUAUGACUUGGAAUGGUACCCCGCCUGUGUUGAUCAAUUUGAUAAGGCCGCAGUGUGUGGUAGUAGUGGUCAAGUGUUUGAAAGUACUAGCCACAUACCGUAAAUAUGGUACGCGGUAAGCCUAAUACCUGAUUGGCCCGGCAAGUGGACAUAUCCCAUACCACUCGAAUUUUGGUUUAUGUACACACACACCAACGUGUGGGAGUACGUUCUGCAUAGCAGAUGGGAGUACGGUCAUACAGUCAUGCUGUAGACAUACGUCUUGCACAUUGGAUGUGCGUAUGGUUCUGCAGUCGCUUGUGGUGGCGCUGAUCCACGACCCAGAAUAUGAGGGGAAUGGUUGCCCAGAAAGAAAAGUUUUCGAGCAUGUGAUUUAGGAUCCCUUGCAAGGUUAUGAAAUUUGAUUCAGAAAUUGUCCGUUUCUCGCAGUGAUCGAGACUGCUUGAUACUUCUGCCACAUAGAGUAACAAGAGCAACAGUUGAUGGAACAAUAUUGAUGUAUGCUUUAAUAUCUACCUUGCUUGUCUAGUAUAGAUGCUCACUUAGAAUGGUUAAUUGAACUAGAAUUUGAAAGCUAAAAUAUGGAAAUAAGGACAAACUCUUUGUUAUUUUUCAGCAAAAGAAAACCUAGAGCCUUUCAACCUCUCACGGUCUAGUUAUGGGCUAUGUAUAACCAAUUGACGGGUAAGCCUUGCUGAGUAUUAGUAUACUCAGCCUUUCUAGUAAUGUGGUUUACACGUAUGUCAUUCAAGGACUUAGUUGCUAGUUCUCCUUGGACCUGCACUUUACUGCCUGGCUGGUCCGUGGAAUGGGAUCCGUCCCCGGCCAGCAAUGACUCUUCGGAAUGACGUCAUGCUUUAGGCUAAGUAUGGUGCCUGUUUUGCGAAGAGUAGUCGCGAUGGUCUGCACACUUAAGCCGGAAUAAUUCAAGCGGCUCUACCACAGACUGCUAUCAGAGCUAACAAGUGUACACCGGAGAUAUGAUAUAUAUACUAUACGCUAUCAGAGCUAACAAGGUAUUUUGUAAAAUUGCAUUGGUUUCGUUAAGGAUUGUGCUUUGUACGUAAAGCCCUAGGGAUUUAUAUGGGAGUUAUCAGGUAGCUACUAAUAUAUAUAUAUAUAUAUAUAUAUAUAUAUAUAUAUACACACAGUACAUUUAUAGUACUACUCUAACUUCCAGCACUACAUUUCUGUAAAAAACUUACUUUUGAGCACAAUCAACUUUAUAUUCUGUAGUGACGCAUUCGAUGAUGUGGUAAGAGGGUAAGGAUCCUCAGCCAACCGAGAGAGCUUGGCCUUCCUGUCGGUGAUGUGAACCGAACGCUGUUUCUCAAGCAGUGGCUUACUUGAGAUGCUGCCAAUAUACCAACAAUAAGUUGAUUAUAUUGGGAGUAUAUGGUUAGGCACAGGGUAUGGUGACCGCUGUUCAUACCCCCAUUUUAUACGUAUCCCCGUGAAUACGUUGCGAAAGUAACGUAUGUUAACGUCAUCUGUACGGCGGAAAUUGUACGGAUGCUGUUUCUAUAAGUGAACAGUAAUGUUUAGGAACGCUUUCAUGACGUGCUGGCAUGAAAGGUUCAUGAUAUAUAUGAUUUUUCUGCAGGUACGCUAACCCGGACUCGAUAGGUUCUGAACAAAUAGGAUCUCUCGCCUAGCUAUUAUAGGGAGAGACGUAUAUAUAUACUAUUCUACCGAAAUUAACCACGUAAGUCCAAAAAUAAUUGGCAAUUGUUUUUAGUUGUGAGGAUGAGUAGUACGUGCAUGCAUAUUUCAUGAUUAAACAAAGUGAAUGAAUUAAAUGCCUAGUUGUUUUAAGGAUAUCUAGAUGUUGCUUAUCAGAAGUGCAGUCUUGAAAUGGUCAUACAGACAGCCUUAGGGUUUAGUAUCUCGGCAUCUUUUAUUUCAUCCUUAAGAUCUAUAUCAUCCAUCUGAUUUCCAGCCUUUGCUAUUACCAGAAUCAUGGCGGAUUUUCCAAAGAUCUUUUGGGACCACGAGGGACAUGCUCAUAUCAAUGCCUUGCAUUGGGAGAGUUUUCCACGUCUCUUGUGGGAGUCACUUCAGUUGUUUAGCUACACCAAGCCACCGCAAUAUGAUGGAGUGGAGUAUAGUGAAGACGGUGUUCCUCGGUGCAGAGUGAAGAUGACUAUUCCUCAACAUCCAUCUCGAUCCCUGUGGCAGCCCAUCGAGAUUGAUGUGGUUGGUCACCGUCUAGCAGACACUUUUGAAGCAACAGCUCUUGAAGCUAUUAACAUUUUUUGCGACCAGCAUCCAAAUGAAGUUGUCGGGUAUCCUAUUGGUUUGUUCCCUGCAGCAGAUUCUUGUGACCCCGAGUGGACUUUUCGAGAAUCACACUUUGGACACUUACUGGGAGAUUUGACGGAAGAGACGCUACGUGCUACAGUUAGGUUUAUGAAUGCACAAUACCGUCAUCAGAUACUUCAGCGCCACGGUAUGAGCCAGAUGACCAGUAUAGCCCAAGGUUAUCACAGAAACAUUAACCGGCAGAUUACUCAGAUUGAAGAGCUCCAAGCCAUGAUCAUCGCACAGCGGGACAAAACCAUCACUCACCGAGAGGAUCAGAUCAUUGAGUGUGAUACAUUAAUCAUUCAGCGCAACACUGUCAUCGAGUUUCUUCAAGAGCAAGUCCACGACCUUACUCUUGAGCUUGACGACUCCAUCGCCCAUAUCAAUAUGCUUCAUGAGCAGUCAGCACCUCCUGUCGCACAUGAGGAGUCUGAAAGUGAAGAUGAAGAAGAAGACCCGGAAGAGAUUGAAGGAGUUUCCGAUCUUGAUUCCAAGCAUGGAAAUCCCGAACCUAAUCCUCAGCCCAAUCAUUCUUCUUUAGGCAGCUAGUCGUCUGUGGGCAACCUCGACGAUUUCUAGUCUUUUCCAAAUCAUCGACCUUCUAGAUGCACUUACUGUAGUAUAGUGUGACAUAGGGAGUGAGCAGUCUAGUUUGACCUAAGGGCCACUUGUUGUAUUAUAUGUAGCAUGUGUAGGCAUGGCUUGAUUUGUAUUUAGUAGACUACCGAGAUGUAACAUAGUAAUGACCACUAGUUUAUGAUUUAUAAUCUGAGUUUCCUAUCCGGUUAUCUAUUGAGCUAUCUAUCUGUUGCACUAUCUCCAUAUGUUUUAUUUUUGUGCGGUAUAUUUCUGAAAAUGAAAGCAAGUAUUGGUGAUUUCUAAUGGACAUCUUCCAUUGUUCAGAUGGUUGGCGCUACGCGUGGAACCCUUGAAGGUUUCAGGACGGACCAGGCUAGCGGUUCCUAACAACCGCCACCACCACCACCAAAUCUAGCAGAAGUAAUGGCACGACUGUGACAGUUCAAGUACUUGUAAGCUAGGCACAUUAUUUGUUAGUGUGAAGUAUGUGCUUAUUAGUGUAAAGCUUGUGUGUGUUUAUGUGAAGCUUUUAAAAACUUAAAUGCAAGAAAAAGGGGUAAUUUUAUAAUUAUGAAAAAAACUAGGGUUGUUUUUGCAAAAUGUAUUUGGAUGGGAGGUAACUUCAAAAUAGGUGAAGGGUUGUUUUGCAAAUACAUUUUUCUUACUUUAACCCUUGUUAAAAUAAUGUGUUUACCCAAAGUUUCAUUUGAAAUGUAUGUGUUGAAUUGUGUGAAAUUGAGUGAAGUUGAUGAAAAUAAGGACAUAGGUGUAAUUAUUUUAAAAAUAUGAGUCCUUUUUAUAAAACGGUUGAAUUACAAAAGUAAAUCUUGAAUUUUUACUAGGGAUCAAAGUGCAAGUUUGCUAGUCAUCAUUACACUGCAGAAAACUUGCAAAUAGAUCCUAAAUUUAGUGUAAAUUACUUUCCAUAGGGUAAAAACUUUAAGAUUUUGAAUUUAGUUCAAGGUUUCAAAAUAAAACCCCAUUCCUUGGUUUCUUGAACUUAACCUUUAAAGCAAAGUUGUAGCUUUUGAAAAGUACUGCAACUUUUGUUUUAGCCAUUUUCUCAUUUGAGCCCUAGAUUUAUGGGAAAUUAUGGUUUACCGAUAAGCCCCUAGGAUUUCUGUAUUUUGCAAACAAGUCCCCCGGACCCCCUCCCCUCUUCUUCUUCCUCUGGCACCCCUGCUGCUCCUCUGUUUCCCCCUCUGCCCUGCUUCGCGUCUGACGCCGCCGCCUUCCCCGGCCAUGUGCCGAGCAUCGACCGUCCCCGGCGCCACCUCCAGCUCCUGGCCGCUCCACGCGUCACUUGGACACCGGCCGCCGCCCCAGCCCGCCCCUGCUGGCCCUUCUUCACGUGCGCCACGCCGACCCGAACGCUGCCCAGUCGCCAACUUACCGCCGCCGUGGCACGGACCGAGCAUCCCCUCUUGGCUUCUGCUCUCCUGUCCACGAGCUUCUCCAACCCGUGCCCAUCCCAUUUCUCUUCUCUUCCCUUUUGCCCAGCGCCCCGAGUACCCGGACCCCCACCGCUCCUGUUUUUCUACUCUGGCGAGCUUGGCUCCCUGUGGGCCGCCACCAUCACCCCUUCCCGCACCCUACAACCCCCUGGGGAGCUUCCCCUCACCUCACUAACACUCCCAGGCCAUUCUUCGCGGCCGGAUCCCCACCGGAACCACCUCGCCGCAGUUCACCUCCUCCGCCGCCGCUUCGGUCCGCCGUGGGAACCCCACCUCCGGUCGUCCCUUUCCCUUCCCAAGACCUCCAGAAGGUGCGCCUUGAGCUCCUGGUGCUCGCUGGCCGCUCCUUCUCCACUCCCGACACCACCCCUAGCCGGAAUUUGGCCGACGAUGUCCCUGUCUUUUCUUCCCCACGAGCGUCAAGCCGAGCGCCGAGCCAUCCGCUGGAAAAUUCUCGCCGUCCCGUCCUGCCCCAUCUCGAUUCCAGCACCACAGAGCUUCCUCACCGCCCCUGCUUGCCCCUCGACCCACCCUCAUCGCACUUUGUUCUCUCCUCGACCGGAAUCGAAGGAAUACUGUGCCGCCAUUGCCGCCGGUGAAACCUGAGCCACCUCCACGUCGACAACCCCCUUCCGCCCCACCUCCAGCCGAACCAGGUACCGAAAUAGCAUCCCCAUGACUCCACGAUGCUCGUGCACGCUCCAUCCCUCCAUGUUCGCCGGCCCCUCAUCGGGAACACGGACGCACCGCCAUGGCCGCCGCCAUUCCUCGCCGUCGACCUUGCUCCGCUGUCUUUCUUUGUGCCCACCACCCACCAACAUGUGCACCCCAUCCUAUAGAUCGUGUAGGACCAGUUUCCCCUCGGCCAAACCCUCGCCACCGGCAAGAACACGCCGGUCAGACCACCACGAUCGCCGUCUUGACCCAGCAAGGACUUGAUUGCUUCGAUUUGAAAAGUUCUUGGGUCCUUUCUGCAAAAUAAUCUGAGUCUUUCAAAUCUUUUUCAGUGAACUUUGGAAAUUCCUAGAAAUUUGUAGAAAAAUCCUAAAGUAGCAAACUCAACUGUUCUAGGUUAUAUUAGUUAAAAUCUACAAGUUUUAUGUUGUGAUCUUGAGCUAAAUGUGUUUGAAUUGGGAUCUAGGUUAAAUAAUAGGAAAUAGGUGCUUUAAUUAGAUCUUUUGAUCCAUAGUUGUGCUGUAGUUGAAACUUGAAACUUAGGAUGUGUGUGUUAUGUAUAGCUCUGUGUAAAAGUUUCAAGUCCUUUACUGCUCUUUUGCUUAGACAUUUAAGUGCCUUUGUUUUAUGUUGAGAAAAAUUUAGGAUUUAUUUAAGGAUGCUUCUAUUAAUAUUUGUAUCUGAAAUUUAUAGCCUAGCUUCCUUUUUGCAUGUGUAAUCCAUAGUAAAAGUAUUAGGAUAAGUAGUAGGCUAUACACCAAGUUAUGGAUUUAUGCUUAUUUCCAAAGAUAAUUCAAUUAUGCUAGUUCUUGCUUAUGAAAAAUUAUGAAAAUAUUAUGAGGUAUUUCUCUUAAGGAGUUUAACCUGUUCACAAAAUUUCAGAACAAGAUCUUGUGUAUAUCUACAGUUAUAAAUAACUCUUAAUCUGUUAGUGCUGUUUUUGUUUAUUCUUGUGACAUAGUUUCUGUGAAGAUAAAAUCUUGAUAAAUUUACAGUAGUUUAGAAAUAUCUUUAUCUGUAGCUGAUAAAAGUUUCAACCCUAGUUCUAUAGUAGUUUGUCCUGUAAAAACGAAACAUGUUCUAGGUGUUAACUGUUUGCAAUAAUUCUUCUGAUUUAUUUACUGCAUAAAAUAUUUUAAAAAUUUUAGGGUAAUUUUGAUUCUGUUUGUUCUGUUUGUUAUAAUUUUUGUAGUAUUAGAUCUUAAUCUUAAAAUCAAAUGCUUAUAGUUUAUAAACCAUAUCUAUUAGGUUAAAAUGAAACCAGCCCUAGUUAUUUUAUGAAGUUAAGCAUGUUGUUUAGUGUAGCUAAUUAAGUUAGUCUAUACUCGAUAAAUUACUGCCCAGUAGAAGAGUGAAUGAUAUGUUUGGUAAAUAGAAUAUUUUUUGUUUUGCAUUGUUGAUAAGUUUGAUAGUCUUAGCUCAUAUUUUGGUGAUAGACAUGUAUGAUGUUAGUAACCCUUUUUCACGAGUGCUCAUGCCCUGCUAUUGUGACCUUGUCCUUGUCUGGUUUGCAAUCUUUUAGGGCCCCUUUCUAUAUCAAAAUCCUUAAUUACCCCUCUCUGUCAGCACGCUUCUAUCGGCCGACUUAUCGGCUGCAAUAUUUGGCCACACACCCUCAGCUAUACACCCAUAGAACACACCCCUAUCGGCCACAUGCCUUUUUGGCUGCACGUCUGUAGGACACCCAUCAGCUAUAUGCCUACCCACCACACGCCCUCUUUAGCUACACAUCUAUCGGCACAAGCCCAUCAGCCACAUCUUCUUCAGUCUAGUUCCGCGCUUGUGGUCUCAUCAGCCUAGACCGAUAUCAGUGUUCUGUUCCACCUGGUUCUUGUAGUGGGUCCGAUUUAGAUGACCCCAUCGGCUGUACGUCAAUCGAUUGUUAUACUGACGUAAUCAAGCCGAUGCAACCAUACCUAGUUACCUAGGAUAACACUUAGGCACAGUCAGUGCAGAGUAGGACAAUCAGCUACACGACUGAUAUGCCCUAGUAGAUAUAGGAGAACAUUAGGGAUGAAAACCGACUACACAGCCGACCCACCAAUCGGCUAAAUACACCGAGACACAAACCGUAUGGAUACAUAGUUCGACUAGUCUACCAAUACACCAUCGAUAGUUACUCGCACUAAUCAACUGGCUAUGCUGAUGCAUCACUAGACUAGUUCUACCCGAUAUGUAAAUCGGCUAAUGUGCCGAUGCACUAAAUCGACUAGUAUGCCGAUUCACAGAUCGACUAGUACACGUACACAAAUCGGCUCAGCCGAUGUUCACUAAUCAACUAGUUUUGCUAAAGCAUGGAUCGGCUCUGUCGAUACCCACGUGAUCGGCUAGAUACGUCGAUACUCACACAGAUCAGUUAAGACACAGCUGCUUUAGGAAACACCCCUUCUGCUAAAAUAAUCGAUACCUUCAUCGAUCAAUUAGGAAGUCGAUGCACCUAUCAAUCGGCGACACAGGCCAAAGUACAUAACCCUAGACCAGUAAGAUAGCACAGUCGACACGUCUCUGUUAGGCACAACCAAGGCACAUCAAUCGGCUAAACCUGAUGCACCCUCAUCAACUAAGGCAAGCCAAUGCACCAACCAAUCAGCUAAACAAAAACAUGCUGCUAACUAGAUCCAAUCAGCAAGAUCCUUCCUUGUUCUAUCCUUGAAGCACUGUACCUUUAACAUUCCUAUCCAUAUCAGCCAAUUUGACCCCAGGUGAACUCAAAUCGGCUAAUCUCUUCUGCUCAUAUACAGAGAUCGCUCCUGCAGAUUUCUCUUCCAAACAGAAAUCAGCAGAUUUCCUAAAACUGUGUAGAUAGCUCCCUCAUUUAGCAAUUCUAUCAGCUGAACCCCUAUUGUUUCCAAUCGGCUCUGUUGUAAUCCUCAACAUAUAGCCGAUUUUAAUUAGUUGUCCACCUAAAGCUCUAUCUAAGUUUAGUUUCAGAUCUUUUUGGUUGUUAUAUGAGUAAUAUGUUAAAUGAGUGUUGGAUUGCAACUUUAUUGUGAAGCAAGAUAGUUUUAUGUGCACACUUUGAAUGUAAUGUUGCAUUGCAUGUAGAUACGACUACUUCCGCAAACAGUACCUACGAGAUCUCCCAGGAGUCUACAGAGGAUGUUUCUGAAGACCAAGUGAACGUCACCAAGGGAUUAUCUAAAGCCCCGAACAAAAGUUCGGAAGAUAAUAAUACUAACAUCCCUGACUCCAGCCCCACCAGUAAAGGCAAGCCCCGGACAUAAACCCACUACUUUAUUUACACUGCAAUCUAUAUUUAUAUAUAUAUACUUGUGCAUUAAGUUCUUAGAAAUUUUCUGGAAACCCUAGUUGCAUAUUCCUAGGAACCGAUGUAUUGAAUAUUAGAACCUGAGCCCGACUAGUGCCAUGCUAAUAGGACUGGUAGAAGUCGAGUGAUUUCCUGUCACUCGCGCGAUAUAGGAAUUAAUUGUUUACAAUCCUGCAAUCACUAUAAGGAUGACGGACGGGGUUAUGUGUAGUAUCAUGGAAAGGAAGGAUACCCCAUCUGUGUCGACGAAUUUGGUUAAGGUCACAGUGUGUGGUAGUGGCAGUUAAGCGUUUGAAAGUACUAACCACAUGCCGUGAAAUAUGGUAAGCGGUAAGCCUAGUAACCAAUCGGCCCGGGAAGUGGACUCGUCCCCCACCACUCGACUUUUAUUUUAUGUUUACACGCACCGACGUGUGGGAGUACGUUCUGCAGAGCAGACGGGAAUACGGUCAUACAGUCGCGCUGUAGACGUAUGUCCUGCACAUUGGAUGUGCGUAUGGUCCUCCAGUCACUUGUGGUGGCAUUGUUCCACGACUCGGAAUGAAAGGCAAAUGGUUGCUUCGGAACGACCUGUCGGUGUUCCAAGCGUGUGAGUUAGGUUUACCUUGCAAGGGUCAAAAUUCGAUUCAGAAUCAUCUGUUUCUUGUGAAGAUUGAGACUGCUUAAUACUUCUGCCACAUAGAGUAACAAGAGCAAUCUUAUGAUGAGUAAUACUGAGGUAUGCUUUAAAAAGGCUCUACCUUGCUUGAGUAGUUAUAGGUGCUUACCUAGAAUGGUUAAUGAAACUAGAAUUUGAAAGCUGAAUUAUGAAAUUAAGGACCUACUCUUUGUUGCUUUUCAGCAAAAGCUAAACCCAGGACCUUUGCAAAGACUUCAUGGUCUAGUUAUGGGCUAAGUAUACCUAAUUCUGGGUAAGCCUUGCUGAGUAUUAGAGUACUCAGCUUUGCAAUAUGAUUUUAUUUCAGGUAAUAUCUCUGAAGACCCUACUCUUCCCAUGCCUUGGCCCUAUACUCUACCUGAUGGUUGGUCCAUGGAGUGGGACCUGUCCCCGGCCAACACUGAUCCUACCGAGUGAUGUCAUGCCAGGGCUUAGCAUGAUGUCCGUACUAGCGACGUGUAUAGUUGUCGUAUUUUAAAUUCCACUGCCGUGAACUUGAAUCUUUAAACUGGUUUGUAAUAAUUUCUAUCAAUUUGGAACCUAUGCUACUUUUGGAAGCUCUUGUAAUAUAAAUGCCUGUGAUGUAAAAUAUGAUUGCAAUUGUAUCUCUAAACUCGCCUUCAUGCGAGGUACCUUGUUGGAUCCUGCUUUCAGUGGUUUAUCGGGACGUUACCUGACAGGCCAAGGGGUUACACCGUUUGAAGUACGUUUAGAGCCCUUGAGAGAGGACUUGCGUACUUGAGCUGGUGUAAUUCAGGUUGGUCAGCUAGUACAGGCACAGCAGAACCAGUUCCGUCAUCAGCAACCAGGUCGUGAUGAACAUCCCUCUGCUAGUUACCAUGAUUUCUUCAGCACACAGCCCCCACUUUUCCAUAAGAUCGAAGAGCCUCUUGAUGCGGAUGCAUGGCUCCGCACUAUUGAGUCCAAGUUCGCACUACUGUCCGCACCAUGCUCCGAAGCAAACAAGGCACUCUUUGUAGCAUAGCAGCUUCGUGGCAUUGCUCGCAUUUGGUGGGAUCAUUAUUAUGCCAUGCAGCCAGAAGGAUAUGUAGUCACAUGGGAAGAGUUUUGGAUCGCCUUUAGGGCACAUCAUAUUCCUGAAGGGCUCAUUGAGCGGAAGCUCAAUGAAUUUUUAGCUCUUACCCAGGGAACCCACACCGUAAUGUAGUACGCACAGGCUUUCAAUCACCUGUGUCAGUAUGCGGGUUAUCAUGCAAACACUGAUGAUAAGAAGCGAGAUCGUUUUCGUCAUGGUCUGAACACCAAGCUCAAAGAACGACUGAAUCUGGUUAAGACAGACACAUUCAAUGAGCUGGUCAACAUGGCAAUUACUCAGGAAGAUUGCAUUUCAGCCCAUCAGGCAGAGAAGAAGUGGAAGAUACCCAUUGGACCCUCGACUGCUCAACCCCCAAGGUAUCGGUUAGUCCAGAAUACAUCUCCAUGAGCCCCACCCCAAAAUAAUCAGUUAGGCAGAUGGAUAGCUAGACCCCCUCAGCAGUCUAGAUACAACAAGCCACCAGUACCUCAGUCUCAACAGUAGCAGCAACAGCUUGGAUCAAGGCUGAACUUUCCGCAGUACAACCAGGGAAACAACAACAAUCGUUGUUUCAACUGUGGCAACUCAUCGCAUUUAAUCAAAAAUUGCCCUCAACCAAGGAAAUCAUUCCAAGGGCAGACUUCCAACCCGAGCAACAAGGGCAAAGACAAGAAGCAAACUGUACAAGUCCGCCAAGGAAGGGUGAAUUUCAUGACUCUCUCUGAACUUCCUGAGGGUGCACUAAUAAUGACGGGUACUUUUACUAUACACCAUCAACCUGCAGUUAUACUUUUUAAUUCCGGUGCAAACCAUAGCUUUAUCAGUCUAAAGUUUGGAACAAAAGUAGGCUUGGAUUUCUAUCAUACUAAAGGAACAUAUAUGAUAGCGACUCCUGGCGGUAAAAUUGCUUCAAAUCAAAUCUGUAGAGAUGUGCCAAUUCAAUUGGGUAGCAACUUGAUAAAUACAGAUUUAAUUUUAUUAAAUCUAGAAGGAAUGGAUAUCCUACUAGGUAUGCAUUGGAUGAUUAGGCACCAAGUAUCAUUAGAUAUCUCUUCCUGAGCAGUUGAGAUAGACUCACCUGAUUACAGAGCUACUAUUUGUGGCAGAACCAACCUGAAUUACACCGGCUCAAGUGCGCUGAACCUUUCUCGGAAGGUAUUAAAGGCUCAACCGCACUUCAAAUGGUGUAACCCCGUGGUCUGUCGGGUAACGUCCCGAUAAAACCACCUAACUCAGGAUCAAAACAAGUACCUCGCACGAAGGCGAGUCCAGAGAUACAAGUGCCGACAAAUUUUACAUCACAGGCAUAAUAUUACAUUAGUGUUCAAACUUAUAUUGUAGCGAAACUAACUAGUACAAAUUUAUACAAAACUAUUCAAACUUAGAGUAGCUGCAGCGGAAUUAAAACUCGAUACUACGGGGUGUCGCGGAACAGAUAUUGAGCUAAGCCCAAGCUGAACAUCACUCGGAAGGACCUGUGUUGGCUAGGGACGGAUCCCAUUCCAUGGUCCAACCAUCGGGGAGUGCAUAGGGCCAUGGUAUAGGCAGAGCAGAGUUCUCAAGGGGAUUACCUAGAACAAAAGUUAUAUUGCAAGGCUGAGUAUCCUAAUACUCAGCAAGGCUUACCCGUUCAUGGUAUACUUAGCCAUGUAGCUAGACUAUGAAGGCUUGUAAAGUUACUGGGUAUAAUUUUCAGCACGUGUGAAAAACCAAAUUACGAGUGGUGGGGGGUAUGUCCACUCCUCGGGCCAAUCGGUUACUAGGCUUACCGCUUACCAUAUUUCGUGGUAUGUGGCAAAUACUUUCAAACGCUUAACCACCGCUACCACACACUAUGACCUUAUCAAAUUUUCAUCAACACAGAUGGGGUUCUUACCAAUUUCAUGAAUCACAACCCCGCCCGUCAUCCUUAUGGUGGUUACGGGAAUGUAAACAAUGCAACUCCUAUAAAGCUCGCGAGUGACAGGAAAUCACUCGACUUCUACCGGUCCUAUUAGCUUAGCAGCUAGUCGGGCUCAAGUUCUAUUAUUCAGUACAUAGGUUUCUAGGAAUAUAUGCAACUAGGGUUUCAAUACAAUUCCUGGAAACUUAAAUGCACAAGUAGAUAUAUAUGAAUAUAUAAUUUGUAGUGUAGUAAAAUAGCGGUUUAUGUUCGGGGCUUGCCUUCGCUGGUGGGGUUGGGGUCAGGGAUGUCAAAAACUUCCGAACCUUGGUUCGGGGCUUCAGUUAAUUCCUCAGCGACGUUCACUUGGUCUUCAGAAAAUCUUUGCUCGUGUUCUAGGACUAGUUCGUAGUCCCCGUCGUCGAGUGUCGUUGAUUCUACAUGAUAUGAAAUGAUUUGAAUUAGGUGGUUCUUGAGUUAAGAAUUUUACUUUAUGAUAAAGUUGCAAUCUAACAAUAGAUAAACACAACUUCAUAAUACAAGAAAUUUGAAUUCAACCCUACUAUUGGUAUCUUAAUUCAAUUAUCAUAAUCAAUUGAAUUAAUUGAAUUAGGUUAACAAGUUUGAUUUUUAAUUUGAAAUCCACAAAGGUUAUGGCUUUGAAUUUUUGUGGGUAAGCUUACUUUUAGCAGAUAAGCUUACUAUGAAUUUUUCAUAAUUUUCUAAAAAUAGAAACUAAAGCAUUUGAAUUAAGUUCAAAUUCCAAGUUUAAAUUCAAACCUUAGACAAAACAGUGCCAUAAAUUCUUGAAAGAUUUACUAUGAAUUACUCAAUUACAGAACAUCCCAUGGUAAUAAGAUCUAAGCAUGAAAACCUUAGUAAUGGGCUUGAAUAAAUUUAAACCAUUUUGAGCUUGAUUUGCAUAAGUUUAAAUUAGUUCAAGCUAGAGUUCAAUACUGUAAGUGAAAUUUUCACAUAAGCUCAUUCAUACACUAAACAGGCCACACACAAAAAAUCACAAGCAAUAGAGCUAGCAUGCAAAAGUUACACAUAAGAUACCCUUCUGCUAAACUUUAAAAUAGCUCAAAAUGCAUUUGGUUUCACAUUAGACUUUAGUAACAAAAGUUGUAGAAUUUACUUCAAGGAUUCAAACAAAACUGGUUUGACAUUUUUCUGAGUUUCCUACCAAUUUCUACAAAUUUCUAAAUAUCACUGAUUUUGAAUUGAGGGGAGGGACUGGAAUCUUGCAGCCAGACCCUUAGAAAGAUUUAGAUCAAAGCAAUUGGGUCCUUGGCUCAUCGCGGGAGGAAGCCAAGAAUUGCCGGCCAAAUUUCGGCGAUGGUGGUCACCGGUGGCGAGGGGGAACUUGCUAGGGAGGACCUGGGGGCUUGCGCGGGCUUACCUGGGGGUGAUGUGAUGGUCGGGGUUGACCGGAGGGGGUGGAACGGUGGUGAACCGAGGCGGCGGCAAUAGAGCUCAACUAUGGUGGCAGUGUUCCGACGUAGCGGCUCACCGGCGGUGGACCGGAGGUAGGGUAAAAGCUCCAGGGAAGUAAGGCAGUUCGAUUGAUCACCUCGACGAGAGCUAGGAUGGCCGGAGGGGUGGGUUCCCAUGGCAACCCGGGACGGCGGCGAGGGGAUGAGCUCAUUGGCGGAGGGGGAUGCACUGCUCAAGGGCGGCGAUGAAGGGGCUGGUGAGCUUCACGGGAUCACAGCGAAGCUACUGGAGGGGCUAUCGUAGAUCGGAAGAGGCUGGGGCGAGCUGGCGAUGGCGCGGUGGACGAUGGCAGACGGCGAGCGCGGCGGUGGUCCAGUGGAGAAGAAGUCGAGAAAACAAACGACGGCCGUGCGAGCGGAUAUAAGUAGUUGAAAUGAGUUCCUGGUCAUGCUGUGGAACUAAGAAGAGGCACGACAAGUAGUAGCUGCUGCUGGCAGCCAACGACGGGCGUGGCGGCUGCGCGGAGCUCGGGCAGAGGCGGGGUGACGUGGAGUGCGCGGAAGAAGGCCAGAGGGGAGGAGCUAGGACGGCGGCUGACUUGGAGACGACACGUAGGUGCUGCCAGAAGCAGGAGAUGGCACUGACAGGGCUGUAGCGGUGGUGAGUGGCGGCGGUCUGCGGCGGCAGAGAGGGGGUGCAGCUCGGGCGGACGGCAGAGCGUCGUGGCGUGCUUGGGGAGGGCUAGCAGGAGGGAGGUGAGGCGAUGGGCGAGGUCAGGGGCGACGCGUGGAGCGGCGCUGGAGCAGGAGGUAGCCUCGGGCGGCGCGGCAUGGCGACCUGCGGUGGCGCUACUGCGCGGCAGAGGAGGAACAGAGGAGGAAGAAGAGGGGGGGCACCAGGGGCUAAAUUGUGAACUUUAAAACUCCAGGGACCUUACUGUAAAUCAAAAAUUCCCACUGAUCUAAGGCUUAAAUGAGAAAAUGGUCAAAAUAAAAGUUGUAGAAAUUUUCAAACCCUUCAACUUUUAUUUAGGGUUUAAAACCGAAAACUCAAAGGAUGGAACUUUAUUUAAAAACUUUGGACUCAACUCAAACUUCUCAAAGUUUUUGUCCUUAGUUAGGAAAUUUUCAUGUAUUUUUGGACUUAAUUGCAAGUUUUAUGCACUGCAAUGAUGACUAACAUUUUUACACUUUGACCCCUAGUGAAAUUUAAGAGUUGCCUUUGUAAUUCAAACAUUUUACACAAAAGGACUCAUAUUUUUGAAAUAAUUACACACAAGUCCUUAUUGCCACACAUUCAUCUAAUUUCACUCAAUCCAAUACAUACAUUACACAUUCCUUCCUAGUGUUUUAAAAUUUUGACACCUAGGGUGUCACAACCUUCCCCCCAAAAAGUAAUCUUGUCCUGAGAUUACAGGAAUGAUACAACUUGGAAGAUGGAUACCUAAGGAGUUUUAAGAAAAUCAGGGAAAUUUUUCUGAAGAUAGUCUUCAGUUUCCCAGGUGGCUUCUUCUGCAGUAUGGUGGUCCCACAAGAUCUUAUACAUUUUAAUCUUCUUUCUUCUAGUGCUUCUCUCUUUGGUAUCAAGAAUUUGAAGGGAUUGUUCGAUAUAAGAUAGAUCAGGCUCGAUCUCGAUGGCUUGUUGUUCAAUGACUUCAGUAGGCACUUUGAUGCAUUUCUUGAGUUGGGAUAUAUGAAAAAAUCAUCAAUGGCAGCUAACUGAGUAGAAAGACGAAGUCUGUAAGCUACUGGGCCACAGGGUUCGGUGAUUUCAAAAGGUCCGAUGUAUCGAGGUACUAAUUUUCCCUUUAGGCCGAAACGUUGAACACCUUUAGUAGGAGAUACCUGAAGAUAGACAUAAUCUCCUACUUGGAAUUGUAAUGGUUUUCUUCUUUGGUCUAUAUAACUUUUCUAUCUAGACUGGGUGGCCUUAAGAUUGGCUUGGAUAUGCUUUACCUUAUCUUCGGUUUCGGUAACUAAGUCUGGUAUGAAGAUUUGGCGUUCACCAGUCUCAGACCAACUCAAAGGAGUUCGACAUCUUUGACCGUACAACGCCUCAAAGGGAGCCAUUUGAAGACUGGACUGAUAGCUGUUGUUAUAAGAAAAUUCGGCCAAGGCUAGAUAUUUGUCCCAGUUUGUACUAUAGUGAAUGAUACAAGCUCGAGGCAUGUCUUCAAGGAUCUGAUUAACUCACUCAGUCUGUCCAUCAGUUUGUGGAUGGUAUGCAGAGCUUCGAAUCAGUUUGGUUCCAAGAGAAGAUUGCAAUUGCUCCCAGAAACGUGCAAUGAAUUGUGCUCCUCGAUUAAAAAUAAUUGUUUUAGGGACACCAUGCAGUCGAAUAAUUUGAUCAAGAUAGACUUUGGCAUACUUCUUAGCAGUAUAAGUUGUAUGCACAGGAAGAAAGUGGACAGUUUUGGUGAGUCUAUCAAUGAUUACCCUGAUGGAGUCAUGCUUUUGAGAUGUGUUGGGAAGACCAACGAUGAAAUCCAUACUAAUAUCUUCCUACUUCCACGAUGGAAUAGGCAGGGGUUGGAGUGUGCCGGAUACUUUUAAAUGACUAGCUUUGACUCUCUGGCAUGUAUCACACUCGGAUACAUACUUAGCAAUUUCUCUUUUCAUCCUGGUCCACCAAAAGUUCCGCCUAAGAUCUUGGUACAUUUUAGUACUACCAGGAUGAAUAGAAAACUUGGACAGACGUGCUUCAUCAAGGAUUUGUUUACGAAGUUGAUGAUUCUUAGGUAGAACCAAAUGAUUGUUGAACCAUAGAACUCCUUGAUGAUCAGUGUGGAAACAUCUAUAUUUUGCUUCUCCCUGAGAUAGUUAUUUUCAUCAUGUAAUUGCGACAUGAUGAUUCUAUCUUGAAAAGUAGAUUCGAUAGAUAUGAGAUUCAGGCUACCUUGAUGAAUAAUUUCUAGAUUGAGUUUUCUCAUCUGAUUGCAAAGAGUUUCACUAAAAACUUCUAUAGAUAGGCAAUGGCAAUGUGCCUUGCAGCUAAGUGCAUCCGCAACCACAUUAGCCUUGCCGGGAUGAUAGUAUACCUCAAGAUCAUAGUCCUUGAUUAGUUCUAACCAACGCCUUUGCCUCAUAUUUAGGUCAGCUUGAGUAAAGAUAUAUUUGAGGCUCUUAUGGUUUGUGUAAAUAUUACACUUGGCGCCCAUAAGAUGAUGUCUCUAAAUUUUGAGAGCGUGAAUAACAGCUACUAACUCAAGAUCAUGGGUUGGAUAAUUUUGUUCAUCAUUCCGGUGUGCUCUAGAAGCAUAAGCAAUAACCCAGUUGUUUUGCAUAGGCACACAACCAAGUCCGGUUCCGGAAGCAUCACAAUAGACAUCAAAAGGCUCGGUACAAUCUGGCUGAGCUAAUUCUUAAUGUAUGAAAUGCUUCUUCGUACUUAUCAUCCCAAUAGAAUUUAACCUCCUUCUUGAGUAGCUCAGUCAUUGGCUUGGCUAUCUUGGAGAAAUUGGGAAUAAAUCGACGAUAAUAUCCUGCUAGUCCAAGGAAACUAUGGAUUUGAUGAACUGAAGUUGGAGGCUUCCAAUCCAUAACUUCUUGAACUUUAGUGGGAUCAACCGAUAUGCCUUCACUGGAGAUAGUAUGUCCCAAAAAUUUCACACUAUCACACUUGCAUUUAGAGAAUUUGGUGUAAAGGCGGUGAUCACGUAGUUGUUGAAGAACGACACGUAAAUGAUCAGCAUGAUCUUCUUCAGUUUUAGAGUAUAUCAGAAUAUCGUCGAUAAAAACCAUGACAAAUUUAUAAAGCUUCGGCAUGAAGACUGAAUUCAUAAGAUACAUGAAAUAUGCCGGUGCAUUAGUGAGUCCAAAAGACAUAACCAGAUAUUUAUAAAGUCCAUAUCUGGUCGAGAAAGCCGUUUUUGGAAUAUCACUAGGCUUGAUUUUGAUUUGAUGGUAACCAGAGCGUAGAUCAAUCUUAAAGAAAACUUUGGCUCCAGCUAAUUGAUCAAAUAAGAUGUCAAUGCGGGGAAGAGGGUACUUAUUUUUGAUAGUGACCGCAUUGAGUGGACGAUAAUCGACACAUAGCCUUAAGCUAUUAUCCUUUUUCUUUACAAAGAGAGCAGGGCAUCCCCAAGGUGAAGCACUUGGGCAUAUGAAACCUUUGUCAAGAAGAUCUUGAAGUUGGAUUUUUAGCUCGGCUAACUCAUUAGGCGGCAUUCGAUAUGGCCUUUUGGAAAAAGGAGCUGUGCCAGGUUGAAGCUCAAUAAUGAACUCGAUAUCCCGAUCUGGUGGCAUCCCAGGCAAAUCGUCUGGAAAGACAUCGGGAUACUCACAGACUAUAGAAAUGUCUUUUAAUUUGAUAUCUGCGGUUGCAAACACACAGAAGUUGAAGUGCUCUUGUUGGGGUAGAUAAAGGGUAGUGGCUCCAUCAUAUGGUGAAUCAAUCUCAAUAACUCGGGAAGAGGUAUCUAAUAAUACCUUAUGUUUGAUCAUCCAAUCCAUCCCAAGUAUGAUAUCCAUACCUUCUAAAGGGAGUAAAACCAAAUCAGUUUUCAUUACCUUACUACCCAACUGUAUUGACACACAUCUAAUCAGUUGAUUGGAACCAAUUUUUCCCCCAGGGGUACAGAUCAUGUACGACCCCUUGGCUUGACAAGAAUCAAGUCCUACUCGGGCAACACAUUUGUCACUAAUGAAGCUAUGAGUUGCACCGGAAUCAAAUAAGAUAAUAACGGAUUUAUAGUCGAUAGAGAAUGUACCCGUCAUGAUGGGGGCUCCUUCUGGGAGUUCUGAAAGGGUGGUAAAGUUAACUCGCCCUUGCCGGACUUGCAUUACUCGCUUCUUUCCCUUGCCCUGAUUGUGCUGAUUAGAAUUCUGCCCUUGAAGAGGCUUCUUGGGCCGAGGACAGUCUCUGAUGAAGUGAUCCGUACUCCCGCAAUUGAAACAACGAUAAGUGUUGUUUCUCCGCUGAAAUUGUUGAGCAUUUGGCCUUGUGUCAAACUGUUGUGGCUGUUGCAGAGGCACUGGAGGUCUAUACCCUCCUUGCUGUUGGAGCGGGCGGAAAACGAAUAUGCCAGGUGGGGCAUUCCGCUGCAGCGCUUUGAUCUGUGUAUUGGGAACAACACGAUACCUCGGUGUCUGAGCACUCGAGGGUCCAGUAGCGGUCUUCCGUUUCUUCUCGGCAUGAUGUGCCGUGAUGCAAUCCUCCUGGGUUAAGGCCAUAUUAACCAACUCACUGAAAUUAUCAGCCUUAAUAAGGUUCAAGAGUUCCUUGAGUUUGGUACUAAGGCCAUGACGGAAACGAUCCUGUUUCUUGGCAUCACUGUCAGCGUGAUAGCCUGCAUACUGGCAUAGAUGAUUAAAGGUCUGUGCAUAUUGCAGUACUGUACGGGUGCCUUGGGUGAGUGCUAGGAAUUCAUUCAACUUCCGCUCCAUCAAUCCUUCAGGAAUAUGGUGUGCCCUGAAGGCAGUCCGAAAUUCCUCCCAGGAGAUAACAUGGCCAUCGGGUUGCAUGGCACAAUGGUUAUCCCACCAAAUGCGGGCGGAACCACGAAGUUGCUGGGCGGCGAAGUGAGCUUUACUUGAGUUUGCACAUGGUAUAGUAAGAAGGACGAACUUUGAUUCAAUAGUAUGGAGCCAGGCAUCGGCAUCAAGAGGUUCUUCAGCUUUACUAAAAAAAUGGGGGCUGAGUACUGAGGAAAUCCUGAUAACUUGCCACUUGGGGGUUGAGGUCAUCAUGACCUCCUCGUGAUUGCUGUCGAUACUGGUUCUGUUGUGCUUGCAUGAGCAGAUUGAGAAGCUCAGUUUGUCGUGCCAUAACCUCAGCUAGAUUUGGGGGUGGUGGUGGUGGUUGUUGGGAACCGCUAGCCUAGUCUGGCCUGAAACCUUCAGGAGUUCCACGCAUAGCGCCAACCAUCUGAGAAACAUGGAAGAUAUCCAUUACAACUGAUUAUGCUUGCUUCCAUUUUUAGAAUAUACCGCGCACAAAGGAACAGAUAGAGAUAGUACAACAGAUUGAUAGUUCGAUAGAUAACUGAACAGGAACUCAAGUUAUAGAUCAUAUCGGGUGGUCUGUGUAUUACAUUCUGAUAAUCUACCCAUUACCAACCAACCUACUCCUGCCACAUAUAAUACAACAAGUGGCCCUUAAGUCAAACUAGACUACACACUUCCUAUAUCACCAUACUAUACUAAACACAUCUAAGAUAUCGAUGACAAGGAUGAAUUAGAAGUCGUCGAGAUUGCCCACAGAAGAUUGACUGCUGGAAGAAGAAUGAUUGGGCUAAGGAUUAGGUUCUGGAUCUCCAUGUUACGAAUCUAUCUCAGACACGCCUUCAAUUUCCUCAGGUUCUUCUUCUGAAUCUUCCUCUUCUUCUUCUAGCUCAUUUGGCACAAGAGGAGGCAUUUUCUAUUCUUGGAGCAUCUCAAUAUGUCCAAGGGCAUCACCUAACUCUUGGUUCAAGUCAUGGACUUGUUCCUGCAAGAAGUCAAUUACGGUGUUGCGCUGGAGAAUUUGAGCAUCACCCUCCAAGAUCUGCACCUCCAAAUGUCCAAUGGUAGUAUUUCUCCCGACAAUUCCGUGACCAAGCGAAUGAAUUUGGUCAUCUUUCAGGGUAAGACUCCUAUGAAAAUCCUGGGCCAGAUUCACCAUAUCGUCCAUACAUUUUUUCUUAAGUGACUGUAAAUGAUACUGAGCGUUCAUAUACGUGAUCACUGUCUUGAGGGUCUCUUCAGCGAGAGUUCCAACUAAAUGUCCAAAAUGGUUUUUUCUGUAGUAACACCCUAAAAAUUCAAACUACAAAACUUAAAUAAAAUGUUAGGUUUAAAGGAGCCAUAGGGCAUUUGAUAAACAAUUUUCCUUAAUCAUAAAAAGAAAUAUAGGGAACCAUAGCUUUUGUGCAUUUCAUGCUCUUUGCAUUGUUAUUUUGGUUGUUUUCCAUUUGAAUUCAAUUUUCAUUUUUUCAAACUCAAAAUCAUUUAUUUUGCUUUUCUCUCUUUUCCCUCUCUCUUCUCUCCUUUGGCCCCAGCCCAGCCGGCCAUCUUCCCUCCUCUCCCUUCUCCUUCCCUCCUUUUUCCCCCUGGCAGCCCAGCCCAUGGCCUCUUUUCCCUUUUCCCCUUUCCUCCCCUUCUCUCUUUCCCCUCCCGAGUGCAGCCCGCAGCCAUCGCACGCGGCCCAAACCAGCCGCAACCUUCUUUCCUUCCCUCCUCUCCUUUCCUCCCCGCAUGUAGCCCACCAGCGCGGCCCGGCUAUUUUUCCCCUCGGUCCACCAGUCGCGCGCGCCCACUUCCCCCAUCCCUCUCGCUCUCGCGCUGAUAGGCGGGGCCCGCCUGUCAGGCCUUUCGUCCCACCCCCACACCGCACCGGACUCUAGCUCGAGUCCGGCUCGUCCCCGCACCGCCUCCGCCUCGGGCCCGCACGCCCAGGUACCUCCGCAGCCCCCUAAAAGAGCCGCCCAAACCCUAGGGGCUUUUCCCCAAGCCGCAGCCACCCCGCGCCCCUAAACCCUAGCCUCCGCGCCCUCCGCCGCCGCCAUUGCCGCCCUCGCCUCGGGCCAUCGCCGCGUCGCCGCUCCGCUACCGCCCGCAGUUGAAGGACCACCCCCGGAGCACCACGUGGUGCUGAGGACCCUCACCGGCCCCUUUUUCCCUCUCUCCCGCUUCUCCCGUGGCCGAUCGGCGCGCACCGAGGAUCCCCGCCGCCUCUCGCCCCUGGCCGCCGCCUACGGUCGCCACCUCUCCCUCACAACCCCCUAAUUGGAUUCACCUCAUCGCGCUCCAUCUCGUCGUUCAGAUCCAAGCCGAAACCGAGCCGGGAAACGUGUUAUCGCGUGAACUCUGGUGAAGCGCCGCCCUCGCCGCCGCCAGACCCUCGCCGCCGGCUUUCCGCGCCGCCGCCCCGAAGUCCUACCGUCGGAUCUGGAUCCAACGGCCCAGAUCCGGUCUAGCCCCGGGUCAAUAGAUUAGGGUACCGGUCAACCGUGGCCUUUUUGCGGAUUAGCCCUUACGUUUCCCGGAAAUCAACCCGCACUCCACCUCAGUUCAAAAGUAAUCGCGUUUAGGUCCUUUUUCCUCUGAUUAGACCCCUGUAGUUUUUCAAAAUAGAACCCGCCGUCCAAUAUCCCUCUGUUUUGAAGUCUAACCCCUCUGUCUAGGGUUUAAUUACAAUCUAACCCUCGGUUUCUUCUGUCAAAGCCCCUUUUAGAUUGAAAACCUUUACAGAUAGGUCCCUCGAACCCUGGUUGAACCCUAAUUUCUCCGUUUUAACUCCGAUUUCAACGAUUCUUGCGCUCAUGCGAUCCUUGCAGCAUAAACAGUAACUUUUUAGGGUUAUUGUGUUCUAUUUUUAUUGAUUGGUGUACUGUUAUUAUUUUUUUUAUUUGUUUGUUUGCAUAUGCUCGUGUGUCACGAUAGACGGUGCGCAGUUCGAGGAUGUGCAGGGCCAAGACAUUUAAGAAUUUUCUGAGCAGCAGCAGUUUGCUAACGAAGCGAAGUGGUCCUUGAUCAUGUUUCAGACCUAAUAAUAUCACAAUUACACCUUUACUUUAUAUGCAUGCAUGUGUCUAGAAUAUGAUGGAUCCCAAGUUAAGGAUAUGCCUAGUUUCAAUUUAACAUCCUUGAUUAAACCUGGGUAUUUUAUAUUCAUGUUGUAGUGACGCUAAUUGCUCCUACAUAGUUUUUGGUUGGAUAACCUGGAUAUCAUGGUAAUGUUUUAUUUAUUUUGGAAUAUUGUUUGGUGAUAAAUAAGAUUAUUGAAUCAAUUGGAACAUGGAGAACCACCCAGGAAAAUAGUACAACCACAAUACUACAUGGCUCUGGUCUUGGCUAAUUAAUUAGAAACCUUGGCUUGUAAAGGUCUUACCGAAAGGGCAAGAGGGGAGUGCAUUGAUGGGGUAUAGCUCGGUCCUCUUGAGGUGUAGAUAUGAUCCUGGGUAAGGCGUCUUCCUCAUUAGGGAGGGUUAUGACCACUGCGGCCUGAAACCUUAGCGGACCAAUACAAGUUAGGCAAUCUUUGUAAAGGCCUCGUAGUGAAUCCCUGCCACUCACCUUGGAAGUGUUUAAGGGCUUUGCAAACCCGGGCAUCAAGGGAAACACGAGUUGUGGGUAAAGUGUACAACCUCUGCAGAGUGAAAACUGAUAUAUCAGCCGUGCUCACGGUUAAGAGCGGCUUGGACCCUCACAUGAUAAUUAAACUUAAAGAUGAUCUAAAUCGCUGGCUCUAUUUUUUUAUCUCUGUGUUGUGGAUUGAUUCACCUCAGAUAGUUUGUUUAAGGGCUGGUAUAUACUUACAUUUAGCUAAUGCUUGCCUAAUUAAAACUUGACCAACUAAAAAUGCUUACCGCAGUCAAACCAUGUCAGCUUUUCCUUGAUUAUAGCCAUGCAUGUCAUAUAAUUUACUUCACUUGCUGAGUACCAACCAUAAGUGUACUCAUGCUUGCUUUAUUAGAACCAAUGCUGCUCAGAACAAGAUAAUGGUCCGGAGUUUCCUGAAGAUAUUGGAGAUUUCUAGGCGUAUGUCUCCUAGUCAACUGCCUGUGAAGUUGAAGUCCGCUGCUAUUAUCGAUGUUUAUUUAUUCGUUUAAGAUUAAGACUGUCGGUCAUGUAAUAAAGUACUAUUAUACUAUUUUUCGUUAAUGCAUUGCUUCGAAUAUUCGCUUGUGACGUCUACUGUAUGUGCGGAACUUGAUCCUGACGCACAUAUGGGAUGCAUUCAGUUACCUUUCCUAAACCGGGUGUGACAGAUGUGGUAUCACAGCCAGGUUGACUGUAGAACGUUAGCCUAGCUAGUAAUGGUCGAAUUUUAAGUCUUAUUUUGCUUAGUAACCAAGCCUUUGCCUGCUUGCUUUUGAAAACUGCUUAUUUCUUGAUUAUGUCACUAUUUUUUUCCUUUACCCCUUGAACUCAUGCUUGUCUCUCAAGUGUGUUGAUGUUUUACAAAAAUGCCAUCUUGCUUUAAGGUCACCCAUAGCAUUUUCUAAAUGUCCUCUAUCUUGCGCUGCCUUCACUUUUGUUACAGAUGGCCAGAAACAAGCAGACUGCCCGUAAGAGCACCCGUGGACCACCGCAUCCAAUUCAUCACUCACAGGAAGUGUCUGACCCAAAGGACGACUACUACGACUACGAUCAUUCCAAUGGGGGAUGGGUGGACACUGACACUGAGGAGGAGCCCAUGGAGUUGCCAGAGGACCAUCCGGAGGUCUCAAGUGGCAGCAAUGAGGGCCCUGCAGGAGGAGAUGGUGGUGAUUCAGGUGCCGCAGAUGGAGAUAAGGAUGAGGGUGGUGAUGAUGACUCCGGUGCACCAGGGGAUGACGACGACAAUCCAGAUGAUGAUCCAGAGCCAGCCGCCGCCACAAACCCACCACCACCUGAGCCUCACUAUGAGAAGCAGAUACUUCACUUGGACUCCGCUGAGGGUCCAUUCCCCAUGCUUCUCUGGAGGGCCAUGCAGAGGAUUGGCUUUCCGCGGAAGCCGCAUUAUGAGGCCCACUUGUUCAAGAAUGCACAGCAGGAGGAAGAGUGGUUGGUGUCAGUGUUGAUCUAUGUCCUGGAUGAGAGACCUAGCUACUGGGUGGAGUACUCCAAGCACAUUGACGAGGUGCCCAGGAGGACCUUGGAGGCAGGGACUAGUGAAGCCGCCAGGAGGACACUCUACUACCUCUGCCACGCUUACAAGGAUGAGCUCCAGGGCACUGAGUUUCAGCAGUUUCCACGGUGCAAGAGAGGAGCUUCUUGUGCGCAGAUUCCUGCCUCACCCUCUGGGGAAGGAAGGCUGCUCAUGGUCACUACGCAGGAGCUGGUCGCCGCUCUCAGCACAGAUCUGGAUGCAGCCAGGGCAGAGAUCCAGGAGGUCAAGAAAAAAGCUGAUGAAGACUAUCAGGGAGAAGGCAAUUCUGGAGGCUCGGCUGAGAGGAGAUCCAGUGUUACCCCUGGAGUACUACAGUGACGAGCCGAGGGAGUACUUCCCUGAGUCACCCACUCGCAAGCGCGUUCACUACGGAGAGCCCGGCUACCGCACCAGCUAUCGUUAGAUAAUAGAUUUAGGAAUUAAGAUAGGAGUAUAUUUUUCUUUCUAGAUAGGAGUUUCUAAGAGUCUUUUGUAAUCGCUAGUUCAAACGAUCUUAAUAGUGUGUUAAAUUAGAUUAAAGUGAAGGUGUGCUUGAUUGCGAUGGUGUGAUUUGGAUCUUUGUAAUGAUUGCAAUAGGUUGUGGAGUGAUGACCACAAUCAUAUCAAGCUAUUAAUACAAAUAUAUAGUUUAGUAAAAAUUUUGGGGAUGUCUAUUUCUUUACUAUCUUUACCUUACCCUUGUUCCUAUCCUUUUUCCAUGAUUGAAUUCAUGAGUCUCCUUUUUCUAACCCAAUCAGAUGGUGAACACCAGGUCCGGGUCAGGAGUUGAUCAGCCUGCAGUGCCGCGAUGGAGGGCGCGCAACAACACCAACCCCGAUCCGCAACCAAGCCAACCACACCAGGCACCACCUGCAGGGAUGGAGCAGUUUCUCGCCACCCAGACUCAGCUGCUGACCAACAUGGCGAACACCAACGCCAACAUGCAGGCUCAGAUGAACCAAGCUCCACCACCUCCACCACCACCAGCAAGGGACAGACACAGGGAGUUCAUGAGUCACAAGCCUCCUACAUUCUCUCAUUCACCGGAUCCACUUCAAGCUGAUGACUGGAUUAAGCCGUGGAGAAGAUGCUCAACCUCGCCCAGUGCACCGACAGGGAGAAGGUCCUUUACGCCUUAGGCAGACUGGAAGGUACCGCCGCAGAUUGGUGGGAUGCUUACACCGCAGCUCAUGACAACCCCGACACCAUCAACUGGCAGGAGUUCAGAAGCAAGUUUAGGGAGCAACACAUACCCAAGGGCCUGAUGAAGCUCAAGAAACAAGAAUUCCUUGCAUUAAAACAAGGGACAAUGUCCAUGAGCGAGUAUCGGGUCAAGUUCAUCCAACUGUCUCGUUACGCCCCUGCAGAUGUCGCAGAUGAUGAAGAGAAGUAGGAUCACUUCAGGGAGGGUCUGAUUGGUCCUAUCAAGUAUCAAUUAAUGGUGCACACUUUCGACAGUUUCCAGAAGAUGGUGGACAAAGCCAUCAUGGUGGAGAAUGCUCGCAAGGAAAUGGGUGAGCAGAAGAGAAAAUACGAGUCAUCGACGCAGUCCAGCAGUAAUGCACGUCCUCGCUUCAACGCUUCGUAGGGAACACCCUUCCGCCCAGGAGGAUAGAGUGUCAACUUUGGGCAGAGUCAGUACCAGCGCUUCAACCAACAGGGUCAACAGCAGCAGCAAGCUCAACAUGCAGGUCAGUCAGUGCAGCGUUCAAACUUUUCGUAGAAUCGUCAGGGCACUCCUACGGGCACACCGAUGAGAAACAAUGCCACUGCUCCCAACGGUGGUAAUACUUGCUUCAGAUGUGGUGAAGCGGGACACUAUGCAAACCGUUGUCCCAAGGGAAAUGGCCAGAACACUCCAGGCCAGUUCAACAACAGCGGACAGAGGCAGACCCCGCAGCAGCAGCAGCCUAGAAACAAUAACCAGACACCGCAGAGCAACAAGGGUCAGCAGAACUUCGUCCGCGGGCGUAUAAAUCAUGUCGCUGCGGAGACCGCUCAGGAAGCUCAGGACGUUGUGUUCAGUAUGUUUCUUGUCAACUCAGCCCUGCAUCAGUUUUAUUUGAUUCCGGAGCAUCGCAUACAUUCAUCUCUGCUGAGUACGUUGCUAAGUACUCCAUUCCCCUAUGCACCAUGCCUAGUUCCAUGUUAGUAAAUUCACCUGGGGGAAAUAUGAGGGCUGUGUAUCGAUGUCUCGGGGUAAAAAUACAAAUCAUGGGCAGGGAAAUCUGUGCAAACCCGAUAGUCUUGCCAUAAAGUGGUAUUGAUAUUAUUCUCGGAAUAGGAUGGUUGACAAAAUACGACGCAGUAAUUCAUUGUUCCAAGCGAUCAGUGGUUCUCACUAGGCAGGAAGGUGAAAGAUUCGAGUUUGUUGCAACACUCCUGUCGGCAGCAGAUUGUGCAGCAAAUCAAUUGAAGGCAAAUUCGAUGGAGGAUAUCAGAGUUGUCUGCGAGUACCCGGAUGUCUUCCCUGAUGAUUUGCUAGGUAUGCCACCUGAACGUGACAUUGAAUUUAUCAUAGAUCUUUUACCUGGUACUGCACCUAUUGCCAAGAGGCCAUAUAGAAUAUCAGUUGGUGAAUUAGAGGAACUUAAGAAACAACUGAAAGAAUUGCUAGAUAAGGGGUACAUUCAUCCUAGUUCUUCACCUUGGGGAGCACCUAUGAUCUUCGUUGAAAAGAAAGAUGGUACACAGAGGAUGUGUGUCGAUUAUAGAGCCUUGAAUGAGGUUACCAUCAAGAAUAAGUAUCCGUUGCCUCGUAUAGAAGACAUGUUUGAUCAGUUGAGGGAGCCAAGGUAUUCUCCAAGAUUGAUUUGAGGUCAGGGUAUCACCAGCUGAGGAUACGACCUUCAGAUAUUGCCAAGACAGCUUUCACUACCAGAUAUGGGCUAUAUGAAUAUACGGUGAUGUCAUUUGGGCUGACUAAUACUCCAGCUUACUUUAUGUAUCUGAUGAAUAAAGUGUUCAUGGAGUAUCUCGAUAAGUUUGUGGUGCUAUUCAUUGAUGAUAUUCUGGUGUACUCCAGGAAUGAGGAGGAACAUGAGGAGCAUUUGAGACUUGUUUUGCAGAAACUUAGGGAUAAUCAGUUGCAUGCGAAGCUCAGCAAGUGUGAAUUCUGGUUGGAGGAGGUCUCGUUCCUUGGUCAUGUUAUCACCAAGGGAGGUAUUGCAGUAGACCCAGGGAAAGUCAAAGAUGUGCUGAGUUGGAAGCCACCUACGACCGUGUCGGAAAUCCGAAGUUUCUUAGGACUCGCGGGAUAUUAUCGGAGAUUUAUAGAAGGCUUCUCUAAGAUAGUGAAACCUCUUACUUCACUACUAGAGAAAGACAAGAAGUUUGAAUGGUCAGAGGUAUGCCAAAACAGUUUUGAUGAGUUGAGAAAAAGGCUGACGACUGCACCAGUGUUGAUUAUGCCUGAUAUUCACAAGAGUUUUGACACCUAUUGUGAUACUUCUAAGCAGGGUCUUGGUUGUGUGCUGAUGCAAGAGGGACAUGUGAUUGCAUAUGCAUCCCGUCAGUUGAGAAAACAUGAACGGAACUAUCCUACACAUAACUUGGAGCUAGCAGCAAUGAUACAUGCUCUAAAGAUAUGGAGGCAUUAUUUGCUGAGUCACAAAUGCCAGAUAUACACCAACCAUAAGAGCCUGAAGUAUAUCUUCACUCAGAAUGACCUCAACUUGAGACAGUGAAGAUAGUUAGAGCUCAUCAAGGAUUAUGAUCUGGAGAUACACUAUCACCCGGGGAAGCCAAAUGUGGUUGCUGAUGCCUUGAGUCGCAAGAGUUAUGUGAAUGCGAUCAUGAUUAGCUAGAUGCCUCGGGAAUUGUGCGAAGAGUUUGAACGGCUCAAUAUGGGGUUUGUCGCACAUACGGAAGGAAUCACUAUAGAGGUAGAGCCGACCCUCGAGCAAGAUAUACGAAAGGGUCAGUUUGAGGAUCCUAAGGUACAGGAGAUAAGGGAGAUGAUAGAAGCAGGCAAGGAACCAGACUUUACCGAAGACGAACAUGGAACAGUAUGGUUCAGGAAGAGGAUAUGUGUGCCCGAUGUGGAUCAUCUCCGAGAGAAAAUUUUGCAGGAAGCUCAUGACUCGGCUUACUCGAUCCAUCCUGGCAGUACCAAGAUGUAUCAGGAUUUGAAGGUGAAAUAUUGGUGGUAUGGUAUGAAACGUGAUGUUGCAGCUCAUGUGGCGCUUUGUGAUGUGUGUCAGCCGGUUUGUUACAACCAUUGAAGGUGCCAGAAUGGAAGUGGGAAGAAAUUGGUAUAGAUUUUAUCGUGGGAUUGCCACGUACCCGAGAUGGUUAUGAUUCUAUAUAGGUUAUAGUGGACCGAUUGACCAAGGUGGCUCACUUUAUACCAGUAAAGACUACCUACACUGGGGCAUGAUUAGCGGAGUUGUACAUCUCCCGGAUCGUGUGUUUGCAUGGGGUACCCAAGAAGAUAGUGUCGGAUAAAGGCACUCAGUUCACGUCGCGGUUUUGGCAAAAGUUGCAUGAGUCAAUGGAUACGAAAUUGAAUUUCAGCUCCGCUUAUCAUCCGCAGACUGAUGGGUAGACAGAAAGGACGGACCAGGUGUUAGAGGAUAUGCUCAGAGCUUGUGCAUUGAAACAUGGAGGCAGUUGGGAUAAGAGUUUGCCGUUUGCAGAGUUCUCUUAUAACAAGAGUUAUCAGGCCAGUCUAAAGAUGGCACCGUUUGAGGCACUGUAUGGCAGGAAAUGCAGAACACCAUUGUAUUGGAGUGAGACAGGAGAAAGUUAGUUGUUCGGGCCUGAGAUCAUUAAAGAGGCUGAAAGAUAGGUACAGGUUGUUCGUGAGAACCUGAAGGUGGCUCAGUCGAGGUAGAAAAGCUAUGCAGAUACUCGACGAUGAGAGUUGACCUUUGAGGAAGGGGACUACGUGUAUCUGAAGGUGUCACCUAUCAGUGGUUUGCGCAGGUUCAAGGUCAAAGGGAAGCUGUCACCUUGUUACAUUGGUCCGUGCAAGAUCUUAGAAUAGAAAGGCGAGGUGGCCUACCAACUAGAGUUACCUGCCCGAUUGUCAGACAUGCACAAUGUGUUUCAUAUCUCACAGUUGAAGAAAUGUUUGAGGGUACCCAAGGAGCAGUUGCCACUGGAGGAACUGGAUGUGCAGGAGGACUUGACUUAUGAGGAGCACCCGAUCAAAAACUGGACACAGCAGAGAGAGUUACCCGGAGUAAGAGAAUACGGAUGUGUAGGGUUCAGUGGAGUCACCAUGCACAGGAUGAGGCUACCUGGGAACGAGAGGACGAGUUACAGGUAGAAUUUCCUCAGCUCUUUGCUAGCCCAGCCAAAUCUCGAGGACAAGAUUCCUUUUAAGGGGGGUAGGUUUGUAAUACCCUAAAAAUUCAAACUACAAAAAUUAAAUAAAAUGUUAGGUUUAAAGGAGCCAUAGGACAUUUGAUAAACAAUUUUCCUUAAUCAUAAAAAGAAAUAUAGGGAACCAUAGGUUUUGUGCAUUUCAUGCUCUUUGCAUUGUUAUUUUGGUUGUUUUCCAUUUGAAUUCAAUUUUCAUUUUUUCAAACUCAAAAGCAUUUAUUUUGCUUUUCUCUCUUUUCCCUCUCUCUUCUCUCCUUUGGGCCAAGCCCAGCCGGCCAUCUUCCCUCCUCUCCCUUCUCCUUCCCUCCUUUUUCCCCCUGGCAGCCCGGCCCAUGGCCUCUUUUCCUUUUUCCCCUUUCCUCCCCUUCUCUCUUUCCCCUCCCGAGCGCAGCCCGCAGCCGUCGCACGAGGCCCAAACCAGCUGCGGCCUUCUUUCCUUCCCUCCUCUCCUUUCCUCCCCACAUGCGGCCCACCAGCGCGGCCCGGCCGUUUUUCCCCUCGGUCCACCCGUCGCGCGCGCCCACUUCCCCCAUCCCUCUCGCUCUCGCGCUGACAGGUGGGGCCCGCCUGUCAGGCCUUUCGUCCCCUCCCCCCGUACCGCACCGGACUCGAGCUCGAGUCCGGCUCGUCCCCGCGCCGCCUCCGCCUCGGGCCCGCAUGCCCAGGCGCCUCCGCGGCCCCCUAUAAGAGCCGCCCAAACCCUAUGGGCUUUUCCCCAAGCCGCAGCCGCCCCGUACCCCUAAACCCUAGCCUCCGCGCCCUCCGCCACCGCCAUUGCCGCCCGCGCCUUGGGCCGUCGCCGCGCCACCGCUCCGCUGCCGCCCGCCGUCGAACGACCACCCCCGGAGCACCACGUGGUGGUGAGGACCGUCACCGGCCCCUUUUUCCCUCUCCCCCGCUUCUCCCGUGGCCGAUCGGCGCGCACCGAGGAUCCCCGCUGCCUCUCGCCGCCGGCCGCCGCCUUCGGUUGCCGCCUCUCCCUCACAACCCCCUAAUUGGAUUCCCCUCAUCGCGCUCCAUCUCCCCGUUCAGAUCCGAGCCGAAACCAAGAUGGGAAAUGCGUUAUCGCGUGAACUCCGGUGAAGCGCUGCCGCUCGCCGCCGCCAGACCCUCGCCGCCAGCAUUCCGCGCCGCCACCCCGAAGUCCCACCAUCGAAUCUGGAUCCAACGGCCCAGAUCCGAUCUAGCCCCGGGUCAAUAGAUUAGGGUACCGAUCAACCGUGGCCUUUUUGCAGAUUAGCCCUUACAUUUCCCGGAAAUCAACCCGCACCCCACCUCAGUUAAAAAAGUACCCCUGUACUUUUUCAAAAUAGAACCCGCCGUCCAAUAUCCCUCUGUUUUGCAGUCUAAUCCCUCUGUCUAGGGUUUAAUUACAAUCUAACCCUCGGUUUCUUCUGUCAAAGCCCCUUUUAGAUUGAAAACCUUUACAGAUAGGUCCCUCGAACCCUGGUUGAACCCUAAUUUCUCUGUUUUAACUCCGAUUUCAACGAUUCUUGCGCUUAUGCGAUCCUUGCAGCAUUAGCUGUAACUUUUUAGGGUUAUUUUGUUCUAUUUUUAUUGAUUGGUGUACUGUUCUUAGUUUAUUUUAUUUGCUUGUUUGUAUGUGCUCGUGUGUCGUGAUAGACGGUGCGCAGUUCGAGGAUCUGCAGGGCCAAGACUUUGAAGAAUUUUCUGAGCAGCAGCAGUUUGCUAACAAAGGCAAGUGGUCCUUGAUCAUGUUUCAGACCUAAUAAUAUCACAAUUACACCUUUACUUUAUAUGCAUGCAUGUGUCUAGAAUAUGAUGGAUCCCAAGUUAAGGAUAUGCCUAGUUUCAAUUUAACUUCCUUGAUUAAACCUGGGUAUUUUAUAUUCAUGUUGUAGUUACGCUAAUUGCUCCUACAUAGUUUUUGGUUGGAUAACCUGGAUAUCAUGGUAAUGUUUUAUUUAUUUUGGAAAAUUGUUUGGUGAUAAAUAAGAUUAUUGAAUCAAUUGGAACAUGGAGAACCACCAAGGAAAACAGUACAACCACAAUACUACAUGGCUCUGGUCUUGGCUAAUUAAUUAGAAACCUUGGCUUAUAAAGGUCUUACCGAAAGGGCAAGAGGGGAGUGUGUUGAUGGGGUAUAGCCCGGUCCUCUUGAGGUGUAGAUAUGAUUCUGGGUAAGGCGUCUUCCUCAUUAGGGAGGGUUAUGACCACUGCGGCCUGAAACCUUAGCGGACCAAUACAAGUUAGGGAAUCUUUGUAAAGGCCUCGUAGUGAAUCCCUGCCACUCACCUUGGAAGUGUUUAAGGGCCUUGCAAACUCGGGCAUCAAGGGAAACACGAGUUGUGGGUAAAGUGUACAACCUCUGCAGAGUGAAAACUAAUAUAUCAGCCGUGCUCACGGUUAAGAGCGGCUUGGACCCUCACAUGAUAAUUAAACUUAAAGAUGAUCUAAAUCGCUGGCUCUGUUUUUUUAUCUCUGUGUUGUGGGUUGAUUCACCUCAGAUAGUUUGUUUAAGGGCUGGUAUAUACUUACAUUAAGCUAAUGCUUGCCUAAUUAAAACUUGACGAACUAAAAAUGCUUGCUGCAGUCAAACCAUGUCAGCUUUUCCUUGAUUAUAGCCGUGCAUGUCAUAUAAUUUACUCCACUUGCUGAGUACCAACCAUAAGUGUACUCAUGCUUGCUUUAUUAAAACCAAUGCUGCUCAGAAUAAGAUAAUGGUCCAGAGUUUCCUGAAGAUAUUGGAGAUUUCUAGGCGCAUGUCUCCCAGUCAACUGCCUGUGAAGUUGAAGUCCACUGCCACUUAUCGACGUUUAUUUAUUCGUUUAAGAUUAAGACUGUUGGUCAUGUAAUAAAGUACUAUUAUACUCUUUUUCGUUAAUGCAUUGCUUCGGAUAUUCGCUUGUGACGUCUACUAUAUGUGCGGAACUUGAUCCUGGCGCACAUAUGGGAUGCAUUCGGUUACCUUUCCUAAACCAGGUGUGACAGAUCCACUUAGCAUCAUGUGCAAAGACUGCCGGAAACAGUCCAAUGGGAUAUGCUGCUACUUCCUCCGGAUGCUGUUCACAAAAGGUGGUAAUAGCCUUGAGGGCUGCUGCUUCAAAGGUGUCCACGAGAUGAUAUCCGACAACUUCUAUCUCAAUAGAUUGCCACUCAAGGAUAGGAUGUUGGGGAACAGUGACAGUAGCACGACAUCGAGGGACUCCGACCUCAGUAAACUCACAACCCUUAUAUUGGGGUGGGUACCGAUAGUGAAAUAUGCGAAGUGUAUCCCACAAGAUUUUCAAAAACCCUUCCCAAUGUAGACAAGCGGUGUGAGCAUAUCUCUUAGCAUCCCAAUAGAUCCUCUGAACAUCUGCCAUCUGAAUCAAAAGGAUUCAAAUGUUAGAUUGGAUAUAAAUUCCUUAGGAUUUUAAGAAGGCUGUGGAAAAAUGUGAGUUAACCCAAGAAAAUGUUGGAAUGCACCAAGAUAUACAUCAACUAAGAACUCAAAAGGUAAAUGGAACAAGAUAUUUGAUUCUGGUCACAGCAAGAACUGGAGAUCAGAUAGUUAUGAUAGAUUUGGCGGAUGAAACAAAGAUACCGAGAUACUAAACCCUAUGGCUAUGUGAUCAUUUCAAGGCUGCACUUGUGGAUAACCACACUCUAAGUAUCCCCAUCACAACAUAAACAUGAGUUUUAAUCAAUUCAAAGAUGCAUGCACGCACUAACGUCCUCACAAACCAAAAUAACUGUUAAAUAUCUUUAGACUUACGUGGUUAGUUACGAUGGCAUACUAUAGAUACGUCUCUCCCUAUAGUAAUUAGUCGACAACUCCUAACCGUUCAGAACCUACCGAUUCGUGGUUAGCGUACCUGCAGAAAACCAUAAUAUAUAUAUAUAUAUAUCCAAUGAACCUUUCAUGCCAGCAUGUCAUGAAAGAACUCCCAAACAUUACUGUUCACUAUAGAAAUAGUAUCUAUACAAUUACCGCUUUACAGAUAAUAUUAACAUACGUUAUCGAAACAACGUAUUCACGGGGUACCGCAAAAAUGCAGGGGUAUGAAUAGCGAUCGCCAUACCCUGUGCCUAACCAUAUACUCCCAACCUAAGUUGAUAUAUUCGCAACAUCUCAAGUAGGCCACUGCUUGAGAAAAAGCGUUCGGUUCGCAUCACCGACGGGAAGGCUAACUCCCCAAUUAGCUGAGGAUCCUUACCUUUUUACCUCAUCGUCGAAGGUGUUGUUACAGAAUGUAAUGUUGGGUUGUGCAUAAAUUUAAGUUUUAACGGAAAAGUAAUGCUGGAAGUUAGAGUUAUAUAUAUACACAUAUAUAUACUAUAGCCACCUCUAAUUCCCUUAUUAAAUAUUAUCCUAGGGCUUUACAUACUAAGCACAAUUCUUAAUGAAACCAAUGUAGUUUUGUAAAAUACUUUGUUGGUUAAAUUUUUAUACUAAAAGCAUUUUUAAGGCAAUUCAUAUCUUCGGGGUACCCUUAUUAGCUCUGAUACCAGCUGUGGUAGAACCAACCUGAAUUACACCGGCUCAAGUGCGCUGAACCUUUCUCGGAAGUUAUUAAAGGCUCAACCGCACUUCAAAAGGUGUAACCCCAUGGUCUGUUGGGUAAAGUUCUGAUAAAACCACCUAACUCAGGAUCAAAACAAGGUACCUCGCAUGAAGGCGAGUCUAGAGAUACAAGUGCCGACAAAUUUUACAUCACAAGCAUAAUAUUACAUUAGUGUUCAAACAUAUAUUGUAGCGAACCUAACUUGUACGAAUUUAUACAAAACUGUUCAAACUUAGAGUAGCCGCAACGGAAUUAAAACUUGACAUUACGGGGCAUCGCGGAACGGAUAUUGAGCUAAGCCCAAGCUCAACAUCACUCGGAAGGACCUGUGUUGGCCGGGGACGGAUCCCAUUCCACGGUCCAACCAUCGGGAAGUGCAUAGGGCCAUGGUAUAGGCAGAGCAGAGUCCUUAGGGGGCUUACCUGGAACAAAAGUCAUAUUGCAAGGCUAAGUAUCCUAAUACUCUACAAGGCUUACCCGUUUAUGAUAUACUUAGCCAUGUAGCUAGACUAUGAAGGCUUGUAAAGUUUCUGGGUAUAAUUUUCAGCUGAAAAGCAAAAAAGAGUAGAUCCUUAAUUUCAACUUUUAGCUUUCAAGUUCUAGUUCAUUAUCCAUUCUAAGUAAGCAACUAUAGCUACUCAAACAAGGUAGAACUUUUUAAGCAAACAUCAUCUUAGAUCAUCAUCAGGUUGCUCUUCUUACUCUAUGUGGCAAAGGGAUCAAGCAGUCUCAAUCUCCAUGAGAAACGGACGAUUCUGAAUCGAAUUUAAAAACCUUGCAAGGGCAAACCUAACUCACAUGCUUGGAAUAUCCAAUGAAUAUUCCGAAGCAACCGUUUGCCUUUCAUUCCAACUCGUGGAUCAGUGCCACCACAAGUGACUGUAGGACCAUACGCACACCAAUGUACAGGACGUACGUCUGUAGCGCGACUACAUGACCGUACUCCUAUCCGCUGUGCGGAACGUACUCCCGCACGUCGGUGCGUGUGAAAAACCAAAUUACGAGUGGUGGGGGGUAUGUCCACUCCUCGGGCUGAUCGGUUACUAGGCUUACCGCUUACCAUAUUUCACGGUAUGUGGCAAAUUCAUUCAAAUGUUUAACCACCGCUACCACACACUGCGACCUUAUCAAAUUUUCAUCAACACAGACGGGGUUCUUACCAAUGUCAUGAAUCACAACCCCGCCCAUCAUCCUUAUGGUGGUUACAGGAAUGUAAACAAUGCAACUCCUAUAAAGCUCGCAAGUGACAGGUGUCGGGUUUUAUCCGGCUGCCCACCGAGGGGUAUACCCAAGGCGGUAGGUUUUGGGUUAGGAUGCGCCGAGAUCAGGAACUCGAAGGUGCCGACAACACAAGAUUUAGAUAGGUUCAGGUCACAAUAUGCGUAAUGCCCUACGUCCUGUAUGAUGGUUUGUAUUGCCUUGAUGUUGAUCUGGUGAUCUUGGUUUUGAGGGGGUCCCUGCCCGCCCUUAUAUAUCCGAGAGGACAGGGUUACAUGAAUCCUAGCCUGAUACUAGCUUAGGAAUCGUACUCAAGUACAACUCGAGUUGUUUCCUUCUAUAUCGACUAGUUCUACUCCGCAUGCGGGUAGAAUACAACAUAAACAAGGUACAGGACACGUCCUAUCCCCUAGCCCAAUACGGACUCCUUGAUGUACACAGCCCCGUGGCCCCGGGUCUGACAAGCCCCCGAGCUCUUCGUAGCUGAGUACUGCAGGCUCUUCGAGUACUUCUGAGGCAAUCUUCGACUUCUUUCGAAGCUCCGUCUUGAAAUUUCUCUUUGAGUACUCUUCUAACUGCAUCGAAGCUAUGAGGUGCUCAUGCCCCGAAUUCUUUCUUCUGUAUGGGGUGCGAUGAAUAAUCGCACUCCAUAUGGAGUAGCCUCGAGCCUUAGGUUGAAUCGAAGAAUCAAGCUGAGGGUCAAACUAGUCUUGAGUCUUUUCUUCUUAUCCUUCGAGUACUUUCGAAAAAUAAGUAGUCGAUGCCACGUGUCUCAUAGCCCCCGAGCCUUGAAUCCAAAUCCCACAAACUUGGAGAUAAGGAUCCGAAAGUCAUGGCAUGCAGUAUUACUCUAAAAUUCCGAAAAAAAACUCUUCGCCUUCUGCAUAGUGAAAUUAAGCCUCCCGCUGGUUUAUUUAACCGCGCGGUGACUUAAGGUUUCUUCUGCACUCUCAGUCUUCAUAUGAGUCGUCUUCGAGUAGUUUUGCAGCGUCCAGCCCCCGAGCUUACGAGCCAGGAGAGCCAAAGGAACCAUGUCGAGUAGUGCGCAUCACCCAGCCCCCAAGCCUGGGAACUAGCGGAACUGUGAUGGCACGCCCUGCUGCCUGGAGGGUUGUUGCUGAAGCUUGAUCUGAAAAAAGACAAUGCAUACAUUAUGCAGCAUAAUGCGAAGAUACCGAGUAGUACUCAGUAAUAAUAUGAAGGAACCAAAAUUUAUUCGGUGUAAAAAUUUCGCUUCUUGCUCUUGCUAGGCCAUUUAAUUUCCCCGGGCAGUUAGCCUGUUACGUUUAAUCACCUGAUCCCUGAUGGCCGUAGACCAUAGCGUAGGGAACUUUGCCGCAUGCACGCGUAGGAGCAUAGGCUUACAAAAGAGUCGAGGUUUCACGGAUUAAGGCGUGUGCUACCCGAGUACUUUAGCAACCGUUAAGAGAAGACAAAGAAGUCGUCAUGCGACAAAGAGGAUGCGCGGUGCGCAUAAAGUAGUCGGCGAUGUGUAGCUCUGGAGGGUUUUGUACCCAUCGAGAGACAUACACGCAUAAGUAGUCGGCAAGUGCGUGUGUGGCAACACGCAAAGAUCUAUACUUCCAUAGGGUGUAGUCCCAUGAAGCCUCCAGCACUCAUAACACAACCUUGUGGCGUAGCCUCCGUAGUCAGUGUCCUAAGGCCGUGGCAAAGCCGCCAGCACUCGGUGCAUUAAGUCUGUGACAGAGCCUCCAGUACUCGGUGCACCAAAGCUGUGGCUGUCGGUCUAACAUCCCAGGAGUAGUCGAUCAGGGCGUAGCCUCCGAGGGUUUCAUGCCCAUCUAGAGGUGUACCCGAAAGGGUAGCCGAUUCUAUGGAGAACAAGUCGAAAAAGGUAAAAAUCACUUAGCUUGAUUCGUGGAUGAAUAUCGACGAAGCCGAGGAGCUCGUUAAUAGAGCUGCGACGGUUUGUUGAUGAAGCUCGACUAGUCGGAGUCGAUUCCGACUAGUUUUCAAGUCGAGACGAGUAGUUGAAGUAAUCGUCGACGAGCUGCCGAUCGUCCUCGCGAAGUCGAAGUAGUCGAACCCGUCGCUGCUGUGCGCGGAUACUACGGCACAAGCCGAAGUUGAACCGGGUUGUCGAGGUCGACGGCCGCGGUGCAUCGACAUUGCAGCGCAAGGCGAAGUCAAGCCGAGUAGUCGAGGUCGAUGUCGCCGUUCGCUGAAGGAUCCGAUAUCGAACUCGAUAAAUCGAUCCACCGAUGCACAUGCAUGAAGGUAGCAAUCCGCCACCUGGUGAACUAGAAAGAUGCCAACGAGUUCGCUGAUGGAUCUUCGACGCGCCCCCUAUCUAGCGCGCCAGCUGUCGGGUUUUAUCCGGCUGCCCACCGAGGGGUAUACCCAAGGCGGUAGGUUUUGGGUUAGGAUGCGCCGAGAUCAGGAACUCGAAGGUGCCGACAACACAAGAUUUAGAUAGGUUCAGGUCACAAUAUGCGUAAUGCCCUACGUCCUGUAUGAUGGUUUGUAUUGCCUUGAUGUUGAUCUGGUGAUCUUGGUUUUGAGGGGGUCCCUGCCCGCCCUUAUAUAUCCGAGAGGACAGGGUUACAUGAAUCCUAGCCUGAUACUAGCUUAGGAAUCGUACUCAAGUACAACUCGAGUUGUUUCCUUCUAUAUCGACUAGUUCUACUCCGCAUGCGGGUAGAAUACAACAUAAACAAGGUACAGGACACGUCCUAUCCCCUAGCCCAAUACGGACUCCUUGAUGUACACAGCCCCGUGGCCCCGGGUCUGACAACAGGAAAUCACUCGACUUCUACCGAUCCUAUUAGCUUAGCAGCUAGUCGGGCUCAAGUUCUAUUAUUCAGUACAUAGUUUUCUAGGAAUAUACAACUAGGGUUUCAAUACAAUUCCUGGAAACUUAAAUGCACAAGUAGAUAUAUAUGAAUAUAUAAUUUGCAGUGUAGUAAAAUAGCGGUUUAUAUUCGGGGCUUGUCUUCGCUGGUGGGGUUGGGGUCAGGGAUGUCAAAAACUUCCAAACCUUGGUUCGGGGCUUCAGUUAAUUCCUCAGCGACGUUCACUUGGUCUUCAGAAAACCUUUGCUCGUGUUCUAGGACUAGUUCGUAGUCCCUGUCGUCGAGUGUCGUUGAUUCUACAUGAUAUGAAAUGAUUUGAAUUAGGUGGUUCUUGAGUUAAGAAUUUUACUUUACAAUAAAGUUGCAAUCUAACAAUAGAUAAACACAACUUCAUAAUACAAGAAAUUUGAAUUCAACCCUACUAUUGGUAUCUUAAUUCAAUUAUCAUAAUCAAUUGAAUUAAUUGAAUUAGGUUAACAAGUUUGAUUUUUAUUUUGAAAUCCACAAAGGUUAUGGCCUUGAAUUUUUGUGGGUAAGCUUGCUUUUAGCAGAUAAGCUUACUAUGAAUUUUUCAUAAUUUUUUGAAAAUAGAAACUAAAGCAGUUGAAUUAAGAUCAAAUUUCAAGUUUAAAUUCAAACCUUAGACAAAACAGUGCCAUAAAUUCUUGAAAGAUUUACUAUGAAUUACUCAAUUAUAGAAUAUCCCAUGGUAAUAAGAUCUAAGCAUGAAAACCUUAGUAAUGGGCUUGAAUAAAUUUAAACCAUUUCAAGCUUGAUUUGAAUAAGUUUAAAUUAGUUCAAGCUAGGGUUCAGUACUGUAAGUGAAAUUUUCACAUAAGCUCACUCAUACCCUAAACAGGCUACACACCAAAAAUCACAAACAAUAGAGCUAGCAUGCAAAAGUUACACAAAAGAUACCCUUUUGCUAAACUUUAAAAUAGCUCAAAAUGCAUUUGGUUUCACAUUAGACAUUAGUAACAAAAGUUGUAGAAUUUACUUCAAGGAUUCAAACAAACUGGUUUGACAUUUUUUUGAGUUUCCUACGAAUUUCUACAAAUUUCUAAAGAACACUAAUUUUGAAUUGAGGGGAGGGAUUGGAAUCUUGCAGCCAGACCCUUAGAAAGAUUUAGAUCAAAGCAAUUGGGUCCUUGGCUCAUCGGGGGAGGAAGCCAAGAAUUGCCGGCCAAAUUCCGGCGACGCUGGUCACCGGCGGCGAGGGGGAAGUGGCUAGGGAGGACCAGGGGGCUUGCGCGGGCUUAGAUGGGGGUAAUGUGAUGGUCGGGGUUGACCGGAGGGGGUGGAACGGCGGUGAACCGAGGCGGCGGCAAUAGAGCUCAACUACAACGGCGGUGUUCCAGCGUAGCGGCUCACCGGCGGUGGACCGGAUGUAGGGGGAAAGCUCCAGGGAAGUAAGGCAAUUCGAUUGAUCACCUCGGUGAGAGCUAGGAUGGCCGGAGGGGUGAGUUACCACGGCAACCCGGGACGGCGGCGAGGGGAGGAGCUCGUCGGCGAGGGGGAUGCAGUGCUCAAGGGCGGCGAUGAAGGGGCUGGUGAGCUUCACAGGAUCACGGCGAAGCUACUGGAGGGGCUAUCGUAGAUCGGAAGAGGCUGGGGCGAGCUGGCGACGGCGCGGUGGACGAUGGCAGACAGCGAGCGCGGCGGUGGUCCAGUGGAGAAGAAGUCGAGAAAACAAACGACGGUCGUGGGAGUGGAUAUAAGUAGUUGAAACGAGUUCCUGGUCCUGCUGUGGAACUAAGAAGAGGCACGAUGAGCAGUAGCUACUGCUGGCGGCCGACGACGGGCGUGGCGGCCGGGCGGAGCUCGGGCAGAGGCGGGGCGACGUGCAGUGCGCGGAAGAAGUCCAGAGGGGAGGAGCUAGAACGGCGGCUGGCUUGGAGACGACACGUGGGUGCUGCCAGAAGCAGGAGAUGGCACUGACAGGGCUGGAGCGGCGGUGAGCGGUGGCGGUCUGCGGCGGCAGAGAGGGGGGGCAGCUAGGGCGGACGGCAGAGCGUCGUGGCGUGCUCGGGGAGGGCCAGCAGGAGGGAGGUGAGGCGCUGGGCGAGCUCAGGGGCGACGCGUGGAGCGGCGCUGGAGCAGGAGGUAGCCUCGGGCGACGCAGCACGGCGACCUGCGGUGCCGCUGCUGCGUGGCAGAGGAGGAAGAAGAAGGGGGGGGGGGCGCUAGGGGCUAAAUUAUGAACUUUAAAACUCCAGGGACCUUACUAUAAAUCAAAAUUUCCCACUGAUCUAAGGCUUAAAUGAGAAAAUAGUCAAAAUAAAAGUUGUAGAACUUUUCAAACCAUUCAACUUUUAUUUAGGGUUUAAAAUUAAAAACUCAAAGGAUAGAACUUUAUUUAAAAACUUUGGACUCAACUCAAACUUUUCAAAGUUUUUGUCCUUAGUUAGGAAAUUUUCAUGUAUUUUUGGACUUAAUUGCAAGUUUUAUGCACUGCAAUGAUGACUAACAUUUUUACACUUUGACCCCUAGUGAAAUUUAAGAGUUACCUUUGUAAUUCAAACAUUCUACACAAAAGAACUCAUAUUUUUGAAAUAAUUACUCACAAGUCCUUAUUGCCACACAUUCAUCUAAUUUCACUCAAUCCAAUACACACAUUACACAUUCCUUCCUAGUGUUUUAAAAUUUUGACACCUAGGGUGUCACACUAUUCUAUAUCUUCCACAGUGGAAGUAUAUGAACUCUUGCGUUUAUGCCAUAGAAGGGAUCAAGCUUGAGGACAUCCCUGUCGUAUGUGAGUACCCAGAUAUUUUUCCGGAUGAUUUACCCAGGAUGCAUCCUGAUAGGGACAUUGAGUUUAUUAUAGAAUUACAACCCGGUACAGCCCCCAUCUCUAAAAGACCCUAUCGUAUGCCAUCCAAUGAGCUAGCAGAAUUGAAAGUUCAACUUCAGGACCUUCUUGAUAAAGGUUUUAUUCAUCCAAGUGCUUCACCAUGGGGAUGCCCAGCCCUGUUUGUGAAGAAAAAGGACCAUAGCCUUAGACUAUGUGUGGACUAUCGCCCCCUCAAUACAGUAACCAUCAAAAACAAAUAUCCUCUUCCCUGCAUUGACAUCUUGUUCGAUCAAUUAGCCGAAGCCAAGGUAUUCUCCAAAAUUGACCUUCGCUCUGGAUAUCACCAGAUAAAGAUAAAGCCCAACGACAUCCCAAAAAUAGCAUUCUCCACCAGAUAUGGACUUUAUGAAUAUCUAGUUAUGUCCCUUGGUCUUACCAACGCAUCAGCAUAUUUCAUGUAUCUCAUGAACUCUGUCUUUAUGCCGGAGCUCGAUAAAUUUAUCGUAGUAUUCAUCGACGAUAUUCUGACCUAUUCCAAAAAUUCUCCAAUUGUGAGACAUCUUCAUAUUAUUCUUUAGAGAUUGUGAGAACACCACUUGUAUGCCAAAUUCUCCAAAUGUGAAUUUUGGCUAGAUACAGUUAAAUUUUUGGGUCACACCAUCUCCAGUGAUGGCAUAUCUGUUGAUCUGAGUAAAGUCCAGGAAGUGAUGGAUUGGAAGCCCCCUACUUUAGUCCAUCAGAUCCAUAGUUUUCUUGGUCUUGCUAGCUAUUAUCAUCAUUUCAUCCUUGACUUCUCUAAAAUAGCCAAGCCAAUGACAGAAUUGCUGAAGAAAGGAGUUAAAUUUUCCUGUAAUGAGAAAUGUGAAGAAGCAUUCCACACUCUAAGAGCACACCUCACUACUGCUCCAGUUUUGGCUCAGCCAGAUAAUUCCAAACCUUUUGAUAUCUAUUGUGAUGCGUCGUGCAUCGGACUUGGUUGUGUACUCAUGCAAAACAACCGAGUAAUUGCUUAUGCCUCACGAGCACUCAGGACUCAUGAACAGAACUAUCCUACCCAUGAUCUUGAGCUUGCAGCCGUUAUCCAUGCGCUUAAGAUCUGGAGACAUUAUCUUAUGGGUACUAAGUGCAACAUCUAUACUGACCAUAAGAAUCUCAAGUACACUUUUACACAAGCAAAUCUAAAUAUGAGACAAAGACGUUGGCUAGAGCUUAUAAAAGAUUAUGAUCUAGAAGUGCACGAUCAUCCAGGCAAGGCCAAUGUGGUUGCGGAUGCACUUAGCUACAAAGCGCAUAGCUAUUGUUUAUCAAUAGAAGCCUUUAGUGAAACUCUCUGCUGGGAAAUGUGAAAGCUCAAUUUUGAGAUUAUUCCUCAAGGUAGUUUGAAUCAUAUAGCAGUUGAACCCACACUUCAAGAUAGUAUCAUUAUAGCACAACUACAUGAUAAAGGAGUCAAAAUCAUCAAGCAACAGCUAGCCCAGGGAUAAGAAAAGUAUAAGUGUUUUUAAGUAGAUCAAAAAGGAAUUCUAUGGUUCAAGGGACGUAUUGUUGUACCCAAGGACCAUCAGCUUCGUAAGCAAAUUCUGGACGAGGCACAUCUGUCCAAGUUCUCUAUGCACCCUGGCAGUACCAAAAUGUAAGAAGACCUGAGAUAGAACUUUUGGUGGACUCGCAUGAAAAGAGAAAUUAUAAGAUAUGUCUCUAAGUGUGAUAUUUGCCAAAGAGUUAAAGCCAGUCACUUAAAGAUUGCUGGUGUUCUUCAACCUUUACCCAUUCCUUCUUGGAAGUGGGAAGAUAUCAGCACGGAUUUUAUCGUUGGCUUACCCAACACUUCCCAGAAGCAUGAUUCUAUUUGGGUAAUCGUUGAUCGAUUAACCAGAACUGCCCAUUUCCUUCCUGUGCAUACUAAUUACAAUGCAGAGAUCUAUCUAGACCAAAACUUUCGUCUCCAUGGAAUACCUAAGAUGAUCAUCUCUGAUCGUGGAGCACAGUUCAUUGCCCAUUUCUGGGAGCAACUCCAACACUCUCUUGGAACCAAAUUAAUUCGAAGCUCCACAUAUCAUCCACAAACAGACGGACAAACGGAAAGGAUAAAUCAAAUCCUAGAGGAUAUGCUUAGAGCCUGUAUAAUUCAAUAUGACAAAAAUUGGGACAAAUGCUUAGCUUUGGUAGAAUUCUCCUAAAAUAAUAGUUAUCAGUCGAGUCUCAAAAUGGCUCCUUUUGAAGCAUUAUACGGUCGCCGAUGCCGAACUCCUUUGAGUUGGUCUCAAACUGGCGAACAUAAAAUCUUUGGACCCGAUCUUAUCACUGAAGCAAAAGAAAAGGUGAAGAUCAUUCAAAAUAAUCUUAAGGCAGCCCAAUCUCGAUAAAAGAACUACACGGACAAAUGAAGGAAACCAUUGUAGUUUGAAGUUGGUGAUUUUGUAUAUCUAAGGGUAUCUCCUACCUGAGGUGUUCAACGGUUUGGUAUGAAAGGAAAACUCGCUCCUCGAUAUGUUGGACCUUUUGAAAUUCUAAAAACUUGUGGACCCGUAGCUUAUCGUCUUCAACUUCCUUUUCAGCUAGCAGCCAUUCAUAAUAUCUUCCAUGUAUCUCAGCUUAAGAAAUGCAUCAAAAUCCCUACCGAGGUUAUCAAUUUCCAAACCAUUAAAAUUGAGCCAGACCUAUCUUAUACCGAACGUCCGAUCCAAAUAGUUAGGAUGUUUAAGAUCCAAUGGAACCAUCACACUGAAGAAGAAGUGACUUGGGAAACUGAAUCUUAUCUUCAGCAUAACUUUCCAGACUUCCUUAGAGCCAAACCAAGUAUCUAAUCUUCCAAUUCCAUCCUGUUCCGAAAUCUCGAGACGAGAUUCUUUUUAGGGAGGGAGGCUAUGACAUUUCAGGUACUUAGGAGCUAGGCACACUAAUUUCUAGUAUGAAGUUAUGCUUGUUAGUGUGAAGUUUGUGUUUGUUUUGAUGAAUGCCUUUAACAAUUUAAAUACACGUUAAAGGGUAUUUUUGUAAUAUUGGGAAAAAUUAGGGUUCUUUUUGUAAAUUGUGUAUAAAUGGGAGGUAAUUUCAAAAAUGUAUGAAGGGUUGAUUUGCAAAUGUGAGUUUUCACUCUUUAACCACUGUAAGAAGUGUAAAUACUCCAAGGUUUCAUUGAAAGGGUAAAAUUUAUUUUGGAUUUUUUUGAAAUUGAAUGAUUUGUUGUUUUUUAAAAAUAAUUUCAAAAUCCUAACUAUUUUGAAGUUGGACCCUAAACCAAAUGGUAGAUCCUUUUAAGCUCUACAUUUGUUAUUUUGGGCAUAUUUUCAUUAGAACUAUAGUUUGGAAGGAAAUUUUACUUUACACUGAACUCCUUGAACUUUUGCAAAAUUUACUAACAGGUCCUUGUCUUCUUCCUCCUGCUUCCCCCUCUAUGUUUCUCUGCAGCGCCGCCCACCACCCAUCGCUGGCGUUUUCCCCAGCCGCCAGCUGCCCCCUCGCCGCUCUUCCUGCGCCACGUGGCCCCCAGCUCGCCCGCCCGCCGCUUAACCGACCCCGCUGGCUCCUCCUCGUGCGGACACGUCGCGCCGUUGCCCGCCCGAGCCACCACGCGCGCUGUCGACCGCCAGCAGCUGCUUGGCGCCCACCCGCUCGCCUCUUUUUAGCCUGGGAACGUGCCUAGUGAACUUCUCCUUUCUUCUAUCCCCUCGCACGCACGCGCAUUCUUGUUUCUUUUCCCCGUCAACUACUUCACCGGAGCUCCUCUGUCCACUGCCGUCAACCGUCUCCGCCGCUCCUCCUCUCCAAUUUUGUGCUCCACCAGCACCGCCACAUCUCAUUGCCCCUUCCUGAUCCGCUCUUCUUCCUCCUUCCGCGCACGUGCAGCCUAGAACGCCGCGCUGGCGAUCUCACUCUCCACCGCCGUUCUAAUUCUAGUCGAACCGAAGUUCCACCCCUUCUCCUUCACCAAGAGCACCAUCAGCACUACAUCUCCACGCCGAAGCUCCCUGACCAAUUUUCUUCGCCUUCUUGCACUCCAGUCGUCGGACCACCGUCGCCGCCCUCGGAACCUCGCCGCGCCGGCUCUGUUUCUAGUCGAACCGCUGCCUCCGAGCUUCCCUUCUAUGAUUCCAACCACCCCCAAGUCCGCUGUGAGCUCCUGAACCUUAUUCCCCACCUUCCCCUCACCGCCAAUAAGCCUCCUUGUUGAAUUUUGAUCGCCGCCGCUCGACUUCUUCUGUUCAAGUCUCUGAAUCCAAAUCCCAAGGUUUGAAAGAUAUUAACAUCACUAACCCCAGCCUCACCAGUGAAGGCAAGCCCCAGUGCAUAACCCAGUAUUUUAAAUUAUGCACUUAUAUCGUUAUAUAUCUAUCUUGUGCAUUAAGUGCUAGGAGUUGUUAUGAAACCCUAGUUGCAUGAAACCUAGGAACCUAUGUAAUGUUUCCGAGUCCUUAUCGAGUAGAUGCUCUGCUAAUAGGACCGGCAGAAGUCUAGUGAUUUCCUGUCACUCGCGCGAUGUCACACCCAAUUUAUAAAGAACAUAAAUCGAGCCAUCAUAUAUGCGCCAGGAUCAAGUCACGCAUAUAUACAACAGAAUAAUCAAGAUAUCACAACACAUAUCACGAAUGACAUUAAUAUAAAUCGUAAAUGAAUUAUUUUAUUACAACCGAAUCAAGAAUCGGUUCAAGAGUUGCGGAAGCGUAAAAGAGAUACAUGAAGAGCUGGGCGCCACAGGGACGUCGACUGGAAGACAAACGCCUAGAAGUCGUCGAAGCCGCUGACGUAGUCCUCCACGUUGCCGGGCACUGAGCAGCAGUCGAAGAUAUCCAAGAGAACAGAAGAGUAGAAAGGCAAGAGUGAGUACAACUCGUACUCAACAAGUAUAACACAAACUAUGAGGCUCUAAGGUUGGCUGACUCGACUGCAUUAGCUUUUAGUCUUGGCAGAAUUUUAUUAAAGCUAAUUACUACAAGUGGAUGAAUUACCAUAAACCCGAAUUGCAUAAUAAAUUAUUCAAUAUUAAUUAAGAACUACUGAGAACCAUCCAAACCAAAACCACCCGGGGAAAUCUCCCUAAUCAAAGGUUGAUAACCCCACUAAUCAAAAGGAGGAUCUGGGCCACUCAUGACUGUGAGCACAGCUGAUAUAUCAGUUUUACACUCUCGAGAGGUUGCAUAACUUUACCCACAAGUCGUGAGCUAUGCUAGUUGUUCAUCACACUUCCUUAGGUGAGAUGGCUAGCAAGCACACUACGAGACCGUUACACAGGAUCACGUUGGUAAGGUGUAACCGCUAAGGUUUCUGGAUCAGCGACGAUGGGGCCCACCUCCGGGGGUACAAGACACACAGCACAGACCAAGCCGGAGGAGCAGGGACCAUUGAAGCUUACCACCCCUCUUGCCCACGCAGGUAAGUUACUCCCGAACCAACACGACCUAAUUAGUAAGUCAAGACCGUCCCAUUCCAGUCUUGUGGUUGCGCGGUUGUCCCAGGUUGUCGCUCUAUGAACCGGUCCUUAUGGAGAGUGGCCAACCAAGCACUAAGCACCGUGCUGGCCCCCUAAACCUUGUUUCUACAAAAACAUAUUUUUAAGGACGCGCAAACCACUCAAGCACACAGCACAGAGGGUCGGCUCCAGAAUUAAGUUGCAUAUACCAUUAAUCAAAUUUAAUUAAAAAGGACCAAUUGUGAGAGCGCAGCACCUAGCAAAACUAACCACAAUGCAACCCAAAGGAUAUAUAUAAAGGAUAUAAAGGUGGCUAGGAAAUCCUUAUGGGCGUACAGAAUUAAAAUGCAGUAUGAAAUUGUAUUUAAAAGUGAUAGGAUGUUCAUGUUAUAUUUGCCUUCCUCAAAGUUCUCCUGCUGCUGCUCAAAAGCUUCAGAAGAUGGUGGCUCCUGGUACUCGUCCAAAGGCUCCGCGUCUACUCACGAUCACCAAGCAUGGUCCACACAUACACACAUGCACAGACAAUAGCAAACUAUAAAAAAAACAGUACACCAAUAUAAUAGAACAGCACACAAAACUAGCCUAGAACUAUUCUACGCGUUACAACGAUCACGUGGACAUAAAGAACACCUAAAACGGAGCUAAAACGCGAAAUCUACGCUUGAAACAAGAUCCAGGGACCUUUCUGCGAGAAAAACUGGCUACAGGGGGUUCUGGACAAAAACCAGGGGCUUAAACGUAAUUAAAGGGUAGACACAGGGGCUAACACAUGAAAACACAAGGCAUGGACUGCGGGCACUAAUUCCAGGAAGCUCAAGGGUCAAAAUGGAAGAAAAGGACCUGUCUGCGAAUACUUUUGAACUAGAGAUGGACGGCGGGUUAAUUCCCCAAAAGGGCAGGGGCUCUUUAACAAAACUGCCAUGGCUGAGGGGGGGUACGCGGUUUCUAAUCUGGGCGGUUGGAUCUAAAUCGAACGGUUCGGCGCAUUCCGGUUCGGACGAUCCGAUCUGAACAGCGGGGGUCCGGACGGUCCGAUCUGGACAGCGUGGUUCGGACUGGUCCGAUCCGGUAGAGCGCGGCCGGCGGCGGGGGGGGGGGGGUGUCGCUGGAGAUCGGUUUCCGUGGCGGCGCGCCGCCGGAGCUGGGCAAAAUCAAUGCUCCGGGGGUCAAAUCAAACGGGGAUUGGGUCUGGAAGGUUCAGCGCGACUUGGGGAAACCACCUAAGGAUAAGGCGGAACGCGGGAAGGGCUCAGGCUGUGCGCACGACGACGGGGGUGGGUCGGCACGGCGGUGCAUCGCCGGCGCGCGCGUUCCGGUCUAAGAGAGGGCUAAAGAUCUACGACAUCUAGUGCAAAAAGGACCAAGGAAUGGCGGGAAAGCUCACCAGGUCUCGUGGUGGCCGGAGCUACAGCGGAAGAUGGUCGGCGACGAGGUCCGAGCGGCGGAACAGGCGGCGCUUGUGGGGAAGGCUCCUGCAGAGAGGCUCGAGGUCCCUUGGACGCGCGGAUCGGUCGGGGAACUCCCUGCAGAGGUAACCAGGGGGUUAAGAUGGAUCAGGAUGCAACGACGAUGAGGAAUUCCGACGGCGGAGCGGCUCACCGUCGAAGGUUCCUUCGGGAAAUUCGGUCGAUGCCGAGGCAUAGGGCUUCGAUGCUGGGCUAGCGGAGCUUCGGGAUGGCGAGAGGGAGCGGACCCGGGGUUGUGGUGGUCUGGGGUGCAGCGGAACGGCCGGUCGGCGGUGAGGCCGAGGCGUCUGCGCGGCGGAGGGAAGAAGGAGGCGGCGGCGCUGCGGUUCUCCAGAGGUGCUGCUGCGGCUAGGUUUAGGGUUCUAGGGCGCGGAACCUUCUUGUAGGGCAGCGGCCCACAUUGGCAUGCGGGCCCGAAGCGAGAGAGCUCGCCGGAAGUUUCGGGGGCCGUUGCGCGGCCGGUAGAGGAAGAAGGAAGAAGGGGCCGACAGGUGGGGUCGAGCUGGGGAAAUGACUGAGAAAGAAGGAAUGACUGAGAAUAGAAGGAAUGACUGAGAAUAGAAGGAAUGACUGAGAGAAAAGAAGGAAUGAUUGAGAGAAAAGAAGGAAUGACUGAGAAUAGAAGGAAUGACUGACCUACUUUCCUGUCUCCUCCCUUUUCUUUUUCAAACCAACUCGAUUCUAUUUGAAUUCAACCCCUAUGCACUCAACCAAAUAAAACUUAUGCACCAGCAUGAAUGCACAAACAUGUUGAACCUAAAAUAAAUUUUAAUUCUUUGUGAAUUAAAUUAUAAAUAAAUGCAAGCUAGGCAAAAUAAAUCCUUAAAAAAUUACUGGAGCCCAUUUAAAUUCAUUAUAGAUCUCGAAAUUUUACCUUAGGAUGUUACAAACCUACCCCCCUUACAGGAAUCUCGUCCUGAGAUUCGAAUAGGCUAGCUAGCAAAGAGAUCGGGAUAUGUCUUCCGUAGCUCAUCUUCUCGCUCCCAAGUAGCCUCAUCCUCCGUGUGAUGACUCCACUGAACACGGCACAUCUUGAUCCUCUUGUUUCUGGUAACUCUCUCGGAUGUCUCCAGAAUCUUCACCGGAUGCUCGAUGUAAGUCAAAUCUUCCUGCACAUCUAACCCUUCCAGCGGUGCUUGCUCUUCUGGCACCCUCAAGCACUUCUUCAGCUGAGAUACAUGGAACACAUCGUGCACUCCUGAGAGGUUGGGAGGCAACUCCAAACGAUAUGCUACCUCACCUUUCCGUUCCAACACCUUGAACGGACCAAUGUAUCGAGGGGCUAGCUUCCCUCUCACAAUAAACCUGCGGAUUCCUCUCAUCGGCGAGACCUUCAGGUACACAUGAUCACCCACUGCAAAGGUCAAAUCUCGACGACGAAUAUCCGCGUAGCUCUUCUGACGAGUCUGAGCGACCCUCAGAUUCUCUCGCACCUGUUGUACCAGCUGCUCUGCCUCUUCCACAAUAUCCAGACCAAACACCUGCCUCUCGCCAAUCUGAUCCCAAUACAGUGGAGUCCUGCAUUUCCGGCCAUACAGAGCCUCGAAAGGAGAUUUCUUCAGACUGGACUGAUAACUAUUGUUAUACGAAAACUCUACAUACGGCAAGCAUUUAUCCCAGCUGGUACCAUACUGGAUAGCGCAGGCUCGAAGCAUAUCCUCCAACACUUGGUUGGUCCUUUCUGUCUGCCUAUCUGUAUGAGGAUGAUAGGCGGUACUGAAACGCAGCUUCGUAUCCAACGAAUCAUGCAACUGCUCCCAGAACCAUGAAGUGAACUGAGAUCCUCGAUUAGAUAUGAUCUUCUUUGGAACACCAUGCAGACAGACGAUCCUGGAGAUGUACAACUCUGCGAGUCUAGCGCCGGAGUAAGUAGUGUUCACCGGAAUGAAAUGAGCAACCUUCGUCAACCGGUCCACUACUACCCAUAUGGAGUUGUACCCUUUCUGAGUACGAGGCAAGCCAACGAUGAAAUCCAUAGUGAUUUCCUCCCAUUUCCACUCUGGAAUCUUCAACGGCUACAAUAACCCUGCUGGCCUCUGAUGCUCUGCCUUGACACGCUGACAAGUGUCACAGAUAGCCACGUACUCCGCAACGGAACGCUUCAUUCCAUACCACCAGAAUCGUUCCUUCAGGUCAUAAUACAUCUUCGUACUGCCUGGAUGGAUAGAAUAUGCUGUAUCAUGAGCCUCACUCAAGAUCAGCUUCCUGAGGUCAUUCACAUCCGGCACACAUAUACGACCCUUGUACCACAAGGUACCCUGAUCAUCCUCUCUGAAAUGAGGGGCUUUACCAAUCUUAAGCAAUUCACGGAUCUCCUGCAGCUUCUUGUCAUCUUUCUGAUGCUGCCUGAUCUCAGCCUCUAGAGUGGGUUCUGCCUCGAAUGAUGUACCCGAGGUGUGAUGCAAGAAACCCAGACUCAACUGCUCAAACUUCUCGCAUAACUCCUGAGGCAUUUGAAAAGCCACGGCCAUGUUAACAUAGCUCUUCCUGCUCAGAGCAUCUGCUACAACAUUGGCCUUGCCCGGAUGAUAGUGAAUCUCCAGGUCAUAAUCCUUGACCAAUUCUAGCCAUCUUCUCUACCGCAUGUUCAACUCACUCUGUGUGAAAAUAUACUUGAGGCUCUUGUGAUCAGUGUAAAUAUCACACUUUUCCCAAAGAAGUAAUGCCUCCAUAUUUUCAGAGCAUGCACAAUUGCGGCUAACUCCAAAUCAUGAGUGGGAUAAUUCAGCUCAUGCCGGCACAACUGCCGCGAGGCAUAAACUAUCACUCUGCCUUCCUGCAUCAGGACACAACCAAGACCAUCCCUCGAAGCAUCACAAUACACUGUGAACCUCUUGCUCUGGUCUGGCAGAGUAAGGACUGGCGCCGUAGUCAGCCUCUUCUUCAGCUCCUCGAAGGGACUCUGACGCUCAUCAGUACAAGAGAAAUCAACUCCCUUCUCUAGCAAGGAAGUCAAAGGCUUCGCAAUCUUGGAGAAAUUCUCAAUGAACCUCCGAUAAUAUCCUGCUAAGCUCAAGAAAGAGCGGACUUCCUUCACUAUCUGCGGUACAACCCAGUCAAGCACAUCCUUCACCUUCCCGGGGUCCACAACAAUACCUCCCUUGGAGAUAACAUGACCGAGGAAUGGGACCUCGUCAAUCCAGAAUUCGCACUUGCUGAGCUUGGCAUACAGCUUGUGCUCUCUGAGCCUCUGCAACACAAGCCUCACAUGCUUCUCAUGCUCUGCUUCUGACUUGGAAUAUAUCAGGAUAUCAUCAAUGAAUAUCACCACAAAGGUGUCCAGAUAAUCCAUGAAAACCUUAUUCAUCAGAUGCAUGAAGAAAGCCGAAGCAUUGGUCAAACCAAAAGACAUGACCGUAUACUCGUAUAGCCCAUACUUGCAAGUGAAUGCCGUCUUCGGAAUAUCCUCAGAACGAAUCUUCAGCUGGUGAUAGCCCGAACGCCGAUCAAUCUUCGAGAAUACACAAGCACCCUGAAGCUGAUCAAAGAGAUCCUCAAUACGAGGCAAGGGAUGCUUAUUCUUGAUGGCAACUGCAUUCAGAUCCCGAUAAUCGACGCACAUUCUCUUCGCGCCAUCCUUCUUCUCUACAAGCAAUACAGGAAAAGCCCAAGGAGAGAAACUGCGAUGGAUAUAGCCCUUGGCUAGCAACUCGUCGAUGGUCUUCUUAACUUCCUCAUGCUCAACGGGAGCCAUACGAUAGGGCCGCUUGGCAAUAGGAGCUGUGCCAGGCAAGAGAUCAAUAGAAAACUCAAUGUCGCGAUCAGGCGGCAUACCUGGCAAAUCAUCCGGAAAGACAUCCGGGAAUUCAGACACCACGCGAAUACCAUCCGUGGGUCUAGCCUCCAUCUGAUGAAGAAAUCCAGAAGGUUCUGUAGCUCCAACAGUGACCUCCUGACCAUCUGGUGCUGACAGAAGAACCGUCCUCUGAGCACAAUCUAUCCGAACUCCCCACUUAGCAAGAGUCUCCAUCCCGAGGAUCACAUCAAUGCCCUUGGUGUCUAGCACCAUCAGAUUCGCACUGAACUCUACCCCCCUUAUGACCACACUAACUCUGGGACAGAAGAUAUGAGACCUCAACUGCCCUCCCGGUGAAGAUACUAACAUGCAUCUCUUUAAUGUGCUAGUAGGAAUGCCAUGAUGCUCAACAAAAGACUGGGUGAUGAAAGAAUGCGUAGCACCAGUAUCAAAAAGCACUGUAGCAGGAUGGGUGUUGACCAUGAACGUACCAAUAACCACGUUAGGAGCCUCGGCCGCUGACUCGGCCGUCACGUGGUUCACCCUGCCCUGAGCUGGGGCCUUGGGCUGAGCUGCACGCCCCUGCUGUCCUGACUGUGCCUUCUGGGGGCAGACGUUGGCGUAGUGUCCCGGCUCGCCGCAGUGGAAGCACACUCGCGGAAAUGCAGCGGCCUGCUGCCCGGCAGGAGGAGGGGGCACUCCCUGCCUCUAAGCUGGUGGAGCCGGAGGCGCUGGAAGCCUCUAUCCCUGUCCUGCCUGCUGCUGAGGAUGGGGAGGAUACUGUUGCCACUGCUGGUACUGCUGGGGCGGUCUCUGCUGCUGCUGCUGCUGCGGAUGCUGAUAGCGGGGUCGAGUGUUGCUGCCCGAAGAGGAUGGAGCCAUCUUCCUCUUCUUAUCCUCAAUCUCCCGGCGCUUACGCUCGGUGUUGAGGGCAGCAUCAACCAGCUGGUUGAAGUUGUCGAAGUGGUGGUUCAGCAGCGCAUACUGGAUGUGAUCAUCCAGCCCUUCCUUGAAAUACUCCUGCUUGUCGCUAUCACGGGCGACGUCAGCAGGGGCAUAGCGGGCAAGCUGAAGGAAACGGUCACGGUACUCCGUCACCGUCAUCGAUCCCUGCUUAAGGGCACGGAACUCCUUCUGCUUCAUCUUCAUAAUGCCCUCAGGAAUGUGAUGGUUCCUGAAGCGCUCACGAAACUGGACCCAGGUGAGAGAGUCGCGGUCCUGAAACGGGUAGGACUCCCACCAGUCGAGAGCGGAGCCUCGUAGCUGCCCUGCGGCGUACAGAACCCUCUCCCGGUCGUCGCACUGCGCAACAACCAACUGGCGCUCCACCGAACGAAGCCAGUCGUCCGCCUGGAGUGGGUCUGUGGCGUGAGAGAAGGUCGGCGGGUGACCUCUCAGGAAAUCCGCAUGCCGAUCGCGGGGCUGAGGCGGCGGAGGAGGCGGGGGCUGGGCGUGGAUAUGCUCCAGAGCCUGAACAGUAUUGUUCAGGGUAGCCAUCAUCUGCAUCUGGAGCUGGAAGAACUGCUCCGGGGUCAGUGGUGGCGGCAUCGGCAGCGGCUGACCAGUACCCUGGUUGUUCUGCUCCUGCUGGUCAGAAUCGGAACCGAUGCGCCUGGUGUUCACCAUCUGAUUGCAGCAACGAAAUUUUAUGAGAACAAGAUAUUGUGCAGCUGCGGAAAUAAAACUUCGGCAGGAUAUGACCGAGAGAAAGGAGUAUAGGUUUUACCACCAACAUUAUAACUAAAUUUUAUUAUUUAGUUCAAGUUGUGUUAGGGUCGGUUUGCAGGAACAAGUUUAACUACUAGUCUAUGCAAUCAACCAAAAAUCCAAAUCAAACAUUUGCACAAUAACAAACAUUCAAUGUUCACAACUUAGUCGAGUUUAUCACACCACUCGACUAACAUACUCGUUCUAGCGUAUUUUCAUCAGGACAACCUAGACUUAUAAUUUACAGGAUUAGGCGACUCAGGCCAACGUCUACGGAAAACUCAAGCUAUUUCUCAGAAAAGGCAGGAGAGAUAGCGAAUCAAAGGGCUUAGGAUUCAAGGAAUAGAGGCAGGAAAUGAUUUUAGGAGGUUUGCGGAAGCAAGGCAAGAGAAAAGAAGUCCUAAACUCGACCGAUUCUAUCUAGGUUUCAUCCUACAGUCGAUAUGGCUCUGAUACCAAUCUGUCACACCCGAUUUAUAAAGAACAUAAAUCGAGCCAUCAUAUAUGCAUCAGGAUCAAGUCACGCAUAUAUACAACAGAAUCAUCAAGAUAUCACAACACAUAUCACGAAUGACAUUAAUAUAAAUCGUAAAUGAAUUAUUUUAUUACAACCGAAUCAAGAAUCGGUUUAAGAGUUGCGGAAGCGUAAAAGAGAUACAUGAAGAGCUGGGCGCCACAGGGACGUCGACUGGGAGACAAAUGCCUAGAAGUCGUCGAAGCCGCUGACGUAGUCCUCCACGUUGCCGGGCACUGAGCAGCAGUCGAAGAUAUCCAAGAGAAUAGAAGAGUAGAAAGGCAAGAGUGAGUACAACUCGUACUCAACAAGUAUAACACAAACUAUGAGGCUCUAAGGUUGGCUGACUCGACUGCAUUAGCUUUUAGUCUUGGCAGAAUUUUAUUAAAGCUAAUUACUACAAGUGGAUGAAUUACCAUAAACCCGAAUUGCAUAAUAAAUUAUUCCAUAUUAAUUAAGAACUACUGAGAACCAUCCAAACCAAAACCACCCGGGGAAAUCUCCCUAAUCAAAGGUUGAUAACCCCACUAAUCAAAAAGAGGAUCUGGGCCGCUCAUGACUGUGAGCACAGCUGAUAUAUCAGUUUUAUACUCUCGAGAGGUUGCACAACUUUACCCGCAAGUCGUGAGCUACGCUAGUUUUUCAUCACACUUCCUUAGGUGAGAUGGCUAGCAAGCACACUACGAGACCGUUACAAAGGAUCACGUUGGUAAGGUGUAACCGCUAAGGUUUCUGGAUCAGCGACGAUGGGGCCCACCUCCGGGGGUACAAGACACACAGCACAGACCAAGCCGGAGGAGCAGGGACCAUUGAAGCUUACCACCCCUCUUGCCCACGCAGGUAAGUUACUCCCGAACCAACACGACCUAAUUAGUAAGUCAAGACCGUCCCAUUCUAGUCUUGUGGUUGCGCGAUUGUCCCAGGUUGUCGCUCUAUGAACCGGUCCUUAUGGAGAGUGGCCAACCAAGCACUAAGCACCGUGCUGGCCCCCUAAACCAUGUUUCUACAAAAACAUAUUUUUAAGGACGCGCAAACCACUCAAGCACACAACACAGAGGGUCGGCUCCAGAAUUAAGUUGCAUAUACCAUUAAUCAAAUUUAAUUAAAAAGGACCAAUUGUGAGAGCGCAGCACCUAGCAAAACUAACCACAAUGCAACCCAAAGGAUAUAUAUAAAGGAUAUAAAGGUGGCUAGGAAAUCCUUAUGGGCGUACAGAAUUAAAAUGCAGUAUGAAAUUGUAUUUAAAAGUGAUAGGAUGUUCAUGUUAUACUUGCCUUCCUCAAAGUUCUCCUGCUGCUGCUCAAAAACUUCAGAAGAUGGUGGCUCCUGGUACUCGUCCAAAGGCUCCGCGUCUACUCACGAUCACCAAGCAUGGUCCACACAUACACACAUGCACAGACAAUAGCAAACUAUAAAAAAAACAGUACACCAAUACAAUAGAACAGCACACAAAACUGGCCUAGAACUAUUCUACGCAUUACAACGAUCACGUGGACAUAAAGAACACCUAAAACGGAGCUAAAACGCGAAAUCUACGCUUGAAACAAGAUCCAGGGACCUUUCUGCGAGAAAAACUGGCUACAGGGGGGUUCUGGACAAAAACCAGGGGCUUAAACGCAAUUAAAGGGUAGACACAGGGGCUAACACGUGAAAACACAAGGCAUGGACUGCGGGCACUAAUUCCAGGAAGCUCAGGGGUCAAAAUGGAAGAAAAGGACCUGUCUGCGAAUACUUUUGAACUAGAGAUGGACGGCGGGUUAAUUCCCCAAAAGGGCAGGGGCUCUUUAACAAAACUGCCAUGGCUGAGGGGGGGUACGCGGUUUCUAAUCUGGGCGGUUGGAUCUAAAUCGAACGGUUCGGCGCAUUCCGGUUCGGACGGUCCGAUCUGAACAGCGGGGGUCCGAACGGUCCGAUCUGGACAGCGUGGUUCGGACUGGUCCGAUCCGGUAGAGCGUGGCCGGCAGCGUGGGGGGGGUCACUGGAGAUCGGUUUCCGCGGCGGCGUGCCGCCGGAGCUGGGCAAAAUCAAUGCUCCGGGGGUCAAAUCGAAUGGGGAUUGGGUCUGGAAGGUUCAGCGCGACCUGGGGAAACCACCUAAGGAUAAGGCGGAACGCGAGAAGGGCUCAGGCUGUGCGCACGAUGACGGGGGCGGGUCGGCACGGCGACGCAUCACCGGCGUGCGCGUUUCGGUCUAAGAGAGGGCUAAAGAUCUACGACAUCUAGUGCAAAAAGGACCAAGGAAUGGCGGGAAAGCUCACCCAGGUCUCGUGGUGGCCGGAGCUGCAGCGGAAGAUGGUCGGCGACGAGGUCCGAGCGGCGAAACAGGCGGCGCUCGUGGGGAAGGCUGCUGCAGAGAGGCUCGAGGUCCCUUGGACGUGCGGAUCGGUCGGGGAACUCCCUGCGGAGGUAACCAGGGGGUUAAGAUGGAUCAGGAUGCAACGACAAUGAGGAAUUCCGACGGCGGAGCAGCUCACCGUCGAAGGUUCCUUCGGGAAAUUCGGUCGAUGCCGAGGCGUAGGGCUUCGAUGCUGGGCUAGCGGAGCUUCGGGAUGGCGAGAGGGAGCGGACCCGGGGUUGUGGUGGUCUGGGGUGCAGCGGAACGGCCGGUCGGCAGUGAGGCCGAGGCGUCUGCGCGGCGGAGGGAAGAAGGAGGCGGCGGCGCUGCGGUUCUCCAGAGGUGCUGCUGCGGCUAGGUUUAGGGUUCUAGGGCGCGGAACCUUCUUGUAGGGCAGCGGCCCACAUUGGCAUGCGGGCCCGAAGCGAGAGAGCUUGCCAGAAGUUUCGGGGGCCGUUGCGCGGCCGGUAGAGGAAGAAGGAAGAAGGGGCCGACAGGUGGGGUCGAGCUGGGGAAAUGACUGAGAAAGAAGGAAUGACUGAGAAUAGAAGGAAUGACUGAGAAUAGAAGGAAUGACUGAGAGAAAAGAAGGAAUGACUGAGAGAAAAGAAGGAAUGACUGAGAAUAGAAGGAAUGACUGACCUACUUUCCUGUCUCCUCCCUUUUCUUUUUCAAACCAACUCGAUUCUAUUUGAAUUCAACCCCUAUGCACUCAACCAAAUAAAACUUAUGCACCAGCAUGAAUGCACAAACAUGUUGAACCUAAAAUAAAUUUUAGUUCUUUGUGAAUUAAAUUAUAAAUAAAUGCAAGCUAGGCAAAAUAAAUCCUUAAAAAAUUACUGGAGCCCAAUUAAAUUCAUUAUAGAUCUCGAAAUUUUACCUUAGGGUGUUACACGCGAUAUAGGAGUUGAUUGUUUACUAUUUUGCAAUCACUAUAAGGAUCACGGACGGGGUUAUGUGCAGUAUCAUGACUUAGAAUGGUACCCCAUCUGUGUUGAUCAAUUUGAUAAGGCUGCAGUGUGUGGUAGUGGUGGUGAAGUGUUUGAAAGUACUAGCCACAUACCGUAAAUAUGGUACGCAGUAAGCCUAGUACCUGAUUGGCCCGGCAAGUGGACAUAUCCCACACCACUCGAAUUUUCGUUAUGUACACACGCACCGACAUGUGGGAGUAUGUUCUGCAUAGCAGACGGGAGUACGAUCAUACAGUCACGCUGUAGACGUACGUCCUGCACAUUGGAUGUGCGUAUGGUCCUGCAGUUGCUUGUGGUGGUGCUGAUCCACAACCUGGAAUAUGAGGGGAAUGGUAGUCCGGAAAGGAAAGUUUCCGAGCAUGUGAGUUAGGAUCCCUUGUAAGGUUAUGAAAUUCGAUUCAGGAAUCGUCCAUUUCUCGCGGUGAUUGAGACUACUUGAUACUUCUGCCAUAUAGAGUACAAGAGCAACAGUUGAUGGAACAAUAUUGAUGUAUGCUUUAAUAUCUACCUUGCUUGUCUAGUAUAGAUGCUCACUUAGAAUGGUUAAUUGAACUAGAAUUUUAAAGCUAAAAUAUGCAAAUAAGGAUAUACUCUUUGUUAUUUUUCAGAAAAAGAAAAAGUAGAGCCUUUCAACCUCUCACGGUCUAGUUAUGGGCUAAGUAUACCCAAUUGACGGGUAAGCCUUGCUGAGUAUUAGUAUACUCAGGCUUGCUAGUAAUGUGGUUUUCAGGUAUGUCAUUCGAGGACUUAGUUGCUAGUUCUCCUUGGCCCUGCACUUUACCGCCUGGCUGGUCCGUGGAAUGGGAUCCGUCCCCGGCCAGCAAUGACUCUUCGGAAUGAUGCCAGCUUUGGGCUAAGUAUGGUGCCUGUUUUGCGACGAGUAGUCGCGUUGUUGUUUCUUUUCCGCUGCCAUCUCUGAAUAAUGUCCGUUAAAACUUGAAGUUUUCAAACAAUGUCUGUAUAAAUUUGUUUUAGUUAGGUUUGCAGUACUCGACCAGAACCCAGUUUGUAAUAACUACUUAUGCCUAUGUUGUAAAAAUAUGAUGGUGAUUGUAUCUCUGGAUUCGCCUUCGUGCGAGGUACGCUUGAACGAUCCGGAAUCCGGUGGUUUGAUCGUACCGAUCAAUAGUAUUUCUUUCAAUAUCUACUGGUGCUUCCAUGUCUCAUUGGACCGAUGCAAUUGUGUCUUUUGGUCACUUUAUUUUGGUUGAAGAUCGCGGAGCCUACUUCAUUCAGUCAGACGCUUUUUGACAACAAUUUAGAAAAGGUUCGGAAAACACUUCUUGGUGGUUUUCAAGGUCCACCUCCAUUCGUGUUUUGACUUCGUUUGUCAUCAAAGAUCAAUCACCAAUCAAGACAAACCGGGCGCUACGGUGAGACGUGAAAACACCCGAUCCCAUUCCGACCUCGAUAUAUAUGUGGAAUCGUCUUGCGCCAUAUGUACUGAAAUUGUUCGGGAGACAUGGUCAAAGCCCGGGUUGAAGCCCCUAAAGGGGAUUUCUUUCAGCCAACAUCCAGCCUUAGUGGCCCCUCUCUGAUAAGGUUUGAAAGUUUUCAAAACAAAAAAAAAUGACAAAUCUGGUCCGAUGGCUCUUCUCCACUAACCACAAGGAUAUCGGUACUCUAUAUUUCAUCUUCGGUGCCAUUGCAGGAG